This 44225-nucleotide long non-coding RNA is filed under the name Citrus x clementina. RNAcentral's name for it is "Citrus clementina (C. clementina) long non-coding RNA (CCLE_LNC003361)". The record is from RNAcentral. Lineage: Eukaryota; Viridiplantae; Streptophyta; Magnoliopsida; Sapindales; Rutaceae.
GAAGAAGGACUCGAUAGGGGGAAGAAACACAUGGCUCGGUCUAAUGAAUCUGAGAAAAAUGAUGAAGUCGUCCCCCUCACCACCAGCACGACAAUUGUGACACCAUUAGAGCCUACUGAGAAGGUUGAAGAUGAAGAUGUAGUGGCCAAAGAAUCAAAUGAAGAAACAGCAGACAGUGUUAUUGAGAAUGCUGAAGAUGAAGAGGUGGUGGUCUAUAGAGGAAGACAAAGUGGGCCCGACGCAGCAGACUCCUUGUUAUGCUGAGGGUAAAGCUCUAACUAUUAUUUUGCACUUGCACUUCAUUUUGAGUGUCUUAAAGCCAGCUGCACCUCACUUUAUCGUUUGAAGACUAGGAAAUCUGAAUAAUAAAUUUAAGUUAAUUCUUCCAUCUCUUUAUAUAUGGAUUUGAAGGAACCGAUUGAUGAAGCCUAUAAAUUCAAGCAACGAUUGUGUAAUGGGGAUCAUGCGCUGUUCUCUACCAUCCAGUCUUGGUAAACAGCUCGAAAAAUGAAGUGCAGACACUAUUAGAUCUACUCUCUUUGAAAGUGCUUCGUACAUGCAUGUUUGUCACUGCAAUGUUGUCAUAGUCUCGUAGAGCUGAUUCUUCACAAUUCAGACAUUCACCCAUGAAUUCUUUGAAAUUUAGAGCUUUUCUUCAUAGCUACCUCAUUAGAAAACAAGUCAUGACAUAAGACUUAUCGACUCAAAGCCGAAUUUUCUCGAUCAUGACCUAACAUCUGUUUAUCUUGUGCUGGCAGGUGGUUGGAUACCACUAUCCCCAACUUGUGCAGAAGCUUCCUGACCUUUGUAUGUCAUCAGCAGUGGGUGCCGGAUGUUUGAUCAGAUCGGCUAAAUUAUGAACUUAUUGUUUAUAUUUGUGUCAAUAUUUACAAAGGAAGGGGGAAAAAAAACUAAUAUAUUAAAUAACGCGGCAUCAAAAACGUCCUCCUAAACAAAAUAUGUAUCUAUUUUGUAAAAUGAGUUAAUAAUUGUUAUGAGAAUUUACUCUUUUAACUCGUAGAGAUACAACCUUAAUAUGCUGGUUAAUUCAGCUCAUUGAGAGGGAGACAAUUAGACAAACAUUAUUUUAUAAGAGUGAACUGCAAAAGUACUAGCUUUACCAGAGAGAUUAAUGUUGCCGUUCGCACUUUACAGUAACAUUUGUUUAAUUGCAACUCAAUACAGGAAUUGAACGUGUAAAUGGAAUUAAUAAUACUAAGGGAGAGAAUUCGUCGAAAUUAAUAAUACUAAGGGAGAGAAUUCGUCGAACUCAUAAUAUAUGAUGCUACAUUGCUGCCAUUUAAGAAUUUCAGAGCCAACUAACAGUCACCUUUAUUGGAAAAUCCCACAAGAAUUGGAAGCAAUCACAUACGUGAACAAUUAUAUAUAUUCGUAUCCAUAAUUAGAUAUCACAUUCAUCAAUUAAAUAUGUUUUUUUUGUUGAUAAAUUGAUAUAUUAGAGUAUCACCAAAAGACUCUUCAAAUAAGAUUUUAUUAAUUAUUUGAAGAGCUACCUCAAUAUUUAAGACUCCAAAAGACACUUAAAUUAAGAUUCUUCAAAUAAGAAAUGAUUCUCUCCCUUCAAAUUUGGAGAGUUGAUUUCCCCAUCUUCAAUUUAUACUUUAUUAUUUUUCAUUGGAGAAAAAGAGAGAAGUGCUUUAAUUGCUAUUGACUUUUUCUUUAAAAAAAAUAAUUAUUUGAUUAAAAAUAAUAUUAAGUUAUUUCUAUUUGAAGAGUCUUUUUGAGAAUAUCAUAUUUUUUUACCUUUCUAUUUGCCACAUAGGUAAGCAAAUAGAUAUUUGAAGAGUAAAAUUUAUAGUCUUUUGGAGAUGCUCUUACAAUUAGAGCUUCAUCAGUAUUUUCAAUCAAAAAUUUGAUCCAAACUCUCCUUAAUAAUUUUAUUAUGGCGCAGUCUAAAAGUCGACCCUCAUUUAAUAAUGGAGUAAAAUCUAUUCCACUCUAAGUGCGAGAAGAUAGAUAGACCCCUACUAAAAAAUGAGUCGAGUCCCAUCCAACCCAUGCGCUCAAGGUUCUAAUUGAAAUUUCAUUUACGUUGCUUAGUUUCUAAGUUCCAAAAUUGAAAUUUCAUGUAAAGAUUUUUGCAUUGGUGUCUUGUUGCGACCAAUAAAUUUGUUAGUUGCCUUGUGGGUCGCACUUCGUUUGAGAAAGCAAGCAUGAAAAUGCCACUUUUGAAACAAGAAUAAUGAGAGGCGUGGGUCUAAUAAAUCAAUCAGUUUUAUAUUUUUAUCCAAGGAUGAAGAUGGCGAUGAGAGGAGCUCUCCUGUAUGCUUUUUCAUUAUAGGUGUUCGCGGAUCGAAUUUUAUGAAUUAGACAUCAAUUAAUAUCCGUUCCACGAUUUUGAGGACUAUAAAUUUUUAAUUCAAUCCAAUUCACGGAUUGCUGAAAUUCAAUCCAAAUUCAAUCCAUUAGUCUGCAGAUUGGAUGCGGAUUUGACAUAAACCAUAUCUAAUUCACCAUUUUGCUAAUUGGUUUGCAGACUAAAAAUUUUUAAUUUCAUACUAUCCAUGAACUAAUUAAAUAAAAAAUUAAUAUAAAAAUGAUUUUCUUACUAAUCAAAUUCAAGAUUAAAUAUGAUUCAAAUAAAUCAACUACUUAAAUAAAGCUAGAAAAUACAUUCAAAAUUUCAAAAUAUAACACACUAAAAAGAAAAAAAAAAUCAUUUGAUUAGAUUAGUAUAUGAAAAUUAACUACUUAGGAAGUUAUAUUUGUUUAUUUAAUUAUUUUUACUUUAUAUUAUUAUUGGAUAAGAUAUAAUAUGGUGUAAAUGUAACUAUUUUAUAACUUAUUUAUUUAUUAGUAAGUACUAAUGCUAUAUUUAUAAGUUUAAUUUUUAUUAAAUAAAUAUUUUUUAAUGGAUUUACAGAUUUACGGAAGUAAAUCCAUAUCUAAUCUACCGAUUGCGGAUUUUCAAUCCACCAAUCAACGGAUCAGAUUUUUAUAGAUUGUAUUUCUACGGAUCAAACAAAUUGAGCAUAUCAUAUUGAAUUGUGAACACUCCUAUUUUUCAUUGGUACUCCUUGUGCCACCACUCUAAAGCUAUAAACCUCAAAUUUCUUCGUCAUAGUCAUGAUGUAAGUAAGUUCUAUAGGAAAACAAAAGCAAUAAUUAGUAAUGGUUCCUAAAUAAUAAUGAAUAAUAACAUUUUUGAUCAUUUAUAAGUAUUGAUUGUUGUGCCCGAAAUGCGAAAUCAAGUACACCAAAUAAUCAUAAAAAAAUAAACGACACAUAAUUUUAUGUGGUUCGGCAAUAUGUAUACAUCCACGCGAGCAAGAGAAAAUAAUUGUAUUACUAACAAUUAUUAGAGUACAAUAUUUGAGUAGAAACCUCACUUCCUAGAACCUAAAUACACUCAGUACUCUCACACACACUUGAAAGGAAAAUAAAAAACCUCACAAUUGUUCACUCUCUUAACAAUUCUACAAUUUAAUUGUUACUUUUUCAAAGUUUUUAGGAUGAUUUCAAUGAACGAGUGCUCCUCUAUUUAUAGUUGAACCUUUCCAUUCAUGCUAGCCAUUUUCAAAGCAAAAGUCUUGAGCACCUUUCAAAAUUUCAAGGUUUGGUGCUAUUAAGUCUAUUAUUUAUAGAGUUGACGUCUUAUGGCAAGUUUAGUUAAAUUAAAAUUUUAUUUAUUGCAUAUCUUGUAACAUGAUUAAUUUAUUAAUUCCCUAAUUUAGUGAGAUUCCAAUUUAUUAGGAAUAUUUGUUUCCUAAUUUAAUUGGAUACCUAAUUUAGCAAGUCAAUUAAUGAUGAGAUUCUAUAAUUGGCGCAUGAGAUCUAUUUAGAGCAAGAAAUUGGUUAAAAAAAGAAGUUCAUUAAAUGCUCUAGAUAUUUCUUAAGAGACAAGUAAAGCAAGAAGAUCAUAUUUAUUCCUAUUCAGAGUCAUAUGGAUUAUAAGAAGAAAGAAACUCUUAUUUGGAAAGAAUUCAAGUCUUUUAAGACUUGCUCUUUUUUUUUAAACCUUAGUGCCUAUAUAAAGAGAGAUAUUUCACAAUUAAAGACACACAACACAGAGUAUAAAGUAGAGAAGUAAAAUUCGGCCUCCUCCUUAGAGAAUUCAGAUUUGGUGCAUAUUGUUAUGUUGAUUUAUUUUCUUAUCUCCUUUUCAUCUCCGUGGAGAGUCUAUGUGGAUCUCGGAUCACUAGACAUGGAAGAAUUGAAGAAUUGUUGUUGAUAACUUUGCGAAUUUCCUUAAGGAUCGUGGAUCAAUAGGAGUAUCAAUUAUUCAAGAGAAGUAAAUUCAGUCUAAGGUUGAGUAAACUAUAUAGUGAUAAACUGUAAGUGAGAGUCUUAAGUUUGGUAAAUUCAUAAGUUGUAACAUCUCAACUUAGUGAAUUACUUUUUAUUUUGAUGUGGCCUCGUGGAUGUAGGAUUGAUUAAUUCAAACCACGUAAAAAUCUUAGUGUCAUUUAAUUUUUAUAAUUUAUUGUGUUUUUAGAAAAUUAAUGUUUUUUAUGCGGAUGAACAGUAACAGUAAACAAUGUCAAUGAACAGUAAUGAUGAACAGUAACCGUAAAUAGUACGAUGAACAAUAUUUCUAAAAAUUAAUUAAGUUGUUAAUUUUAAAAUUUUUAAUUGCCUAAAUCUAUUUGUAAUAGAUCUAAAUUCUUUUCAUGUGCCAACUUUUCAAGUUUUGCAUGCUUAGGCACAUGCAUAUGUCAAAUUUUCAAGAUUUGGUGUCAACUUUUCAAGCUUUGCAUGCUUAAUCACAUACUUGUUUAACCAAAGUCACAGGAGCCCCUAUGUUACAAUUAAUGUAACAUACACACUUAACAACAACCACACAAAUAAUAGGCCCACACAAUUUAUGUGAUUGUUGUUGAGUGUGUAUGUUACAUUAAUUAGAACAUAACAUUUGCCAAGUCAAAAAGGUCGUCUGUGCUCAACAUUGAUAUGAUUUUAUUUAUUUAAUGUCAGAUCGAUGCAAAAACACAUUCACAGCCAGCUAAACUACACUAAAAUAGUGCGGGUUCAGUUUCAUUUAAGAUUUAACUUAUAUCAAAUCAUUGGAGAGAAAUGAGCUUAAUUAAUUACCUGAUAACUGCAGCCAUUUAAUGUUUCGUCAGAAAAGAAUUCACCAAGAUUAUAGCAAGAUUUUUUCCCUCUUGAAGCACCAAUCCCUGAGAAUAUCUGGGCGUGGUAUCUGUGCCUGAUGAUAAGGCUCUGAUUAAAACCUUAACUUAAUGAUCGACUCUGAGCUGAUGCUGAUGUACUAUACAAUAUUAAAAAAUUAUUGUUUUCCCGCUAAGAUCUUUUCAGUCAGGCAUUUUAUCAAACACGUGAAUGUAGCCUCAAAUACCUGUAACUUAACCAACAAUAUUGCAAAGACAAAUGAUGGGACCGAACAAUUGACAAAUCAAUUGCAAUAAGCACAAUUUAAAUUUAAGUAUGUGCGCGCGCGUGUAUAUAUACACACACGUACAUAUAUAGUGUUGAUCUGGUUUAAUAGUUUUACCAAUCUUUAAUAGAGUGUACAUAUAUAUAUAUAUAUAUAUAUAUAUAUAUAUAUAUAUAUAUGAUAAAGCCAUAAGAUAUUGAAUUGAUACUUUAUUUCGUACUAAUUUAUGUUCUUAAAAUUUUUCAUCAAAAGUUAUACCAUGUUGUUUGUCUUAAACGAUCCUUUUCCUAUGUGUGAUGUUGAAAUAAAAAUAUAACUAUUUCGACAUUUAAGAAGUAUUUAUUUUUAUUCUUUUUUUUUUAUUGAAACAAGAAAGAGACAGAAGAGAAGAGUUUAAUCCUUUUUUACAGUGAUUUCCUUAAUUAGCAAGUAAUUUCAAGCAUUAUAAAAUCACAUUGGAUAUAAAUUUACCAUCAAAUUCAAUCCAUUUAUAUAUGAUUGAUAUAUUACUAUACUUUUCUUUAGGUCUAUAAGUAGCUUUGUAGUGCCAAACUAAAUGAAUCUGGAGUAAGUGAGAAAUUUCAAUCACGGACAGAAUAUAAGAUUGAGAAUUAUUGAUUAGGUUAAUAAUCCAUGGCAAGAAAUUCUGAUAAGUUUACAUCAAAAUACUAUCGAGAUUUCUUGAACAUGCACAAUCGAUUUUGAGUCUGUCAUUAACACAUUAACCUAAUUAACAUAUACAGUGAGUAAUAUUUUUUAUUUUUUGGUAGAAAUAAUAAUAUAUCCUGUCCUUUGAAUAAUUGAAUUCCACCUUCAGCCUGCAGAAUGAUCCCCUUUAAGAUCUGUGGCAGGUCAAGUCUAUUUAGGAAAUAGGAAAUAUAAUUUAGUUGGUUUAAUUAUUUUGGGUUUAAUGAGGAUCUGGAAGCAUACAAGGAGUAGUUUAGGAAGCAAAUCAACGAAGACCUGCAAGCUUGGAUAGCAUAAAUAAAGUAAACUGGACAUGGUUGAUUUGUGAAGAUUGCAUGCUUGCUUGCAGUCUAAGAAUUGGUCACUUGAUCGUUAUGUAAAGGGCUCGCAAUUUGUACUUCGGUGGCUUGAUGAACUAAACCGUAUACAAAUCUUUUUCAUACCUUUUUUUUAAAUUUUUUUUUAAGGUAAGCCAAAUCGAUUUUUAUUCCGGUUCGAUUAAAACCAAGUCGGAUUCGAAAUAUAUUUUAAGUUCCGUUCGAUUAACCAAUCCGACAAAUGAUAAAUUUUGUUAGUGCUAUCUCUUCCAUUAUUUUUUAUUAGGAUCGUAAUAUAUAAAAUAAAUCUAAAUAUCCUUAUAAUCCCAGAAAGUCACGUCCAUAACUAAAUUUGUCUUGGCUUAUACUGAUGUCCACAAACAGAUUUAGUGUGUAUUAAAAGAAACAUUCCUCCUAUUUACUAUUUAGGUUUCCAUCAUAUAAAUAAUUUUUUUUCUUCACGAAUAAGUUAAAGCCUUAAAAGGGAAAAGCAUUAUUUUACUUUAAAAAGACACGAGUUUCUCAAUUGCAUUUCAUGAACAAAUUAAAGCCUUAAAAGGGAAAAUAAUUAUUAUAGAUAUAUAUUAUAAAAAAAAAAACACUAGUUUCCUAAUUGCAAGUGUGGGGUGUGUGUGUGUGUGUGUCUCUCUCUCUCUAUAUAUAUAUAUGUAUGUGUGUAUGUAUGUAUAUUUGUCUUUGUUGGGCACACAAACAAAUUAAUGGUGCAUUUGGGGCAGUUGCUUCACCCCUUAUAUUCUUACGGACUGUGGUGUGAUAGUGCAACUACCUCAAAUGCACCCUAAAACAUUUGACAUGCUUGCCAACAAUUUUUACCUUACGCAUAGGCAUACACACUUUCUUUCGUUCCACAAUCAAUGGAGUUCAAAUUAAACAGUAAUAUUUAAGUCAUCAUUUUAUAUACUAUUGAAUUGGAUAUAAAUAAUUAGAUCUACUAAAUAAAAUAUAUCUGUCGUCAUAUAAAUGAAUAAUUAGUAUGAAUUACUAAUUAUUUUACCAUAAUUAAAUAAAUAUGCUUUCAUUAGGAUUUCUUAAGAAUUGUUUGGUAGUGAAGUGUUGUGACUUUUAAGAUAUAGUUGUAAAAUUAAACACUAUAACUACUUAAAAGAGAGUUAUGAUGGUGUAUUUACUAAUUAGAAUAUAAGAUUCAUUAAUUUGUUUACUUCCAAAAUGAGGUGAGUGAAAAUGAAAUUUGAGUGGGCUCUAUUAAUUUGGAAUGUGAAAUGGGAAUCCUAUUCCCAAGCGGGGACGUGGGAAUGAGAAGUAACUUGACAUUUGUACCCUUAGUGAAAAUAUAAAUUUCUUUUUAACUCGUUUAAUAAUAAUAACAAAUAAUGAUCAUUACCAACUAAGGUCAAUUUCAAAACAAAGUAAACACAUCAAUAGCAAUAUAGCUCAUUAAGAUUUUGAUUUUUAUAGUUAAAGUAAACAAUCUAUUCUAAUUUUAAUUUCUAAUUUCGAUUCUAACUCAUUCCAAAGAUGAUUAGUAAACGCACCACGAGCGUUCAUCAAUUUUUAUUUAAAAUUGAAGAAAUUAAAAAUAAAAUAAAAUAACUACACAACCUAGUUGCUAGGAAGUUAAAAAAAUAUUUUUUUUCUUAGAACAAAAAAUAUAACUAGAUAAUAAAUAAAAAUCAAUGUUAAAUAAUGCACAUUAGUUCUACACAAACUAGACUACGGUCAUGUUUGAGAUUGAAGUUCUGUAGUUUUUAAGUUGCAGCUGCUGUUGAAAAAAAGUUGUAAUUAUGAAACAAAACUUACAGCACAACAUAUAUAACUAACAUUUUGCCAGCUCAUCUUACACGUCAGCAACCAUAACUAACAAUAACGAACUAUUCUUAACAUGUAGUGAAUAUAAAUUUUAAAUAAUAAUUUUGACAAAAUUAUUAAAGAUAUAAUAGAUUUUUCAUCAUACAAAUGAAAAAUUAUAUCAACAUAACUUUCAAGCUACAGCAACUAGUGUUUACUAAACACUUUAGUGCUGUAGUUUUUAAGGUACAGCUGUCAAACCUCAAUCCUAAACGCACCCUACACUCAGUUUAAGAAUUAUAUGAAAAUGACAAAAUCUAAUGCUAUGUGCAUUAUUAUUUAUCUUUGGUCCAUAAAUAUUAAGAAGAUAAAGGAGAUGAAGGAAAAAAAAAGAGUAAAUUUGUAAUCGCAAUUUAAUCUUAUGCUCUGAUUUUGAAGCAAUUUGGCAGAGUUUUGAGGAUCCAAUCAUGAACCAUGUCCACUUCUAUCUCUCGCUGCUUUGUUAACCAUUCUGGAUCAUUUUUUGUUGCUGGUUGUAUUUCUAAGCAAGGGGAACCUGCUCCAAUUUACAUUCAUUAUGUUAUUCAAUAAUUUAGUUAAUAAUUGAACACAAAUUUGGUACACUUAGAAAUUCUGUCGCCAAAUUUGUAACUGCAGAAAUUUAUUUUUUAACCAUGACCUCUUCAAUACCAAAUUUUUGAUUAAUUUGUUUUUCAACCAUGUCCAAUUUAGUACUAACUUUACAAAUUUUUUGUUCAUCUUGUCCACCAUAUUAAAGUAAGAGAGUAAAAUAAAUGACAAGUUAAAGAUAAAAAGUAUAGUAUAUUUCAUUUAUUAUAUAGUGUAUUAAAGUGUAUAUAUAUAUAUAUUUUAACUUAUCCCCUACUUUACAAAAUAAUAUAUUCCUUUAUUGGAAGGGAACUCAAAUCUGUCAUUACAUGGGGCAUACAAAGCCGUUAUCUAGGAAGCAAAUGAAUGAAGAUCUGGAAGCUUGGAUUGCAUAAAUCAAGUAAAUUGCACGCGGCUGAUUUGUGAAGAUUGCAUGCUAAUUACUAUUGCAUUUAAGUUAAGAGAUCAUUUGCAGGUUUGCUUGCAAUCUAAGAAAUUGGUCACUUGAUCAAGUGCCUUUAUAUAAAGACCUGCAAAUUGUACUUUGUUGGCUUGAUGCAUUGAAAAGUGUGCAACGACGAGCAGCGUGUCGUGAUUCGUGAAUUGAUGAAGAGGAAGCAGCAAUGACAAAUAAUAUUCGGCUUUUCAUCUAAAACAACUCUUUAUGUCUUUCCCAUCCUAAUGGACCUAGCAUGCGUUUGGGGCACCGCGUGCCACCACGGCGCAGCUGCUCCCCACCGUUUUUAUUCUAGGAGAAUAUUCCUUAAAAUAUAAGAUGGAAAAUAGUCAUUCCAAACACACUCCUAAUCUAUAUUCUACAAACAUAUUAAAUUUAAUAAUUAAUUUCUUCCGUUGAAAAGGUAUUUACAAUAAUGAAAGAAUCUCACAUCAAGAAAACGAGUGCGAUUUGAGUAUUUGCUAAGUAAAUUUAAUUAAUUGAUUUAAUUGUAAGUAGUGGGAAAAAUGAGAGGGAGUUGUAAUUUUUCUAUAUUUAUUGUAGUAUUAUAUAUAUAUAUAUAUAUAUUAGCACUAUAUUUUUUUUAUUAAAAUAGUAAUAUAUAAAAUAAAGUAAUGAUUAUGUAGAGUUAUUUCAUUAUAGUACACUAUUUUAUAAUCACACAAUUAAAAAAAUAAAUUGACACCGUAAUUGUGUGGUUAUUAACUUACAUGCUUUGCGGUGGAUCAUAGCCGGACUGAAGUUUCCUUACACUACAGUCCCAGAGAGUCAGAUCCAUAACGUGUAUAGUGUUGACGUACACAUGUCGGUCACCAAACUUUGGCGCGUGAAAAAACACCCUUCCUAGUUUCCAUUUAACUCGAAGCUCAUAUCUUUCUUCGCGAGCAAGUUGAAGCCUUAAAAGGGAAAAGCUUUAUUAUAGUUUGAAAAAAAAAAAAAAAAAACGAGUUUGCUAAUUGCAAACGUCGCUUAUAUUUAUAUGUUCUUUCAUUCGUCUUCGUUGGGCAUACAGACAGACAGACUAAAACCCACUUGACAGGCUCGCCGACGAGUUACAUUGCACGUAGACAACACACACUCACUUUCUUUUCACAGUCCAUGGAGUUCAACUUUGGACGAAUUGACGGCAGAACGGCGCCGUCUCGGUCGUCUCCUUCUCCGUCAUCUCAGAGCUCGAGCUACUCAUCUGAUGAUCAAGCACGUCGAGGAGGUCCGUUUAGAUCUCUCUCACAAUCGUCAUUAUCCUCUAUUUGCUUACUGAAAACAAAAAAACUAAAAGAAAAAUAAAGGAAAUAUACAUAUUUAUAUAUAGACGUUUGCUUUCAGUAAUGUCGUAAUUUUGAGAAUUGCUUCGAAUUGUGAUCCAAAUGCUUUAUGGAAAAAUUUAUUUCAGAACCUUAAAUGCUUUUGCACUUGAAAUCAAAUAACGUAGUUUGCCAUCUUGAAUUAACAUAAACAAUCUCUUUCCAGGUAACUACUCAAUGGGCCCCGAUUUGUUGAACAAUCCAAGACUCCUUUACACGCUCCAGCGUGAGAUUGAGAAGGAGAUAAUCAGGCAUGAAAUAAUUGCUGCAGAAAUUGAGCGCCGGCGAUUGCCUGAAGAAGAGGUGAGAAGAGAGCUGAUGAUUGAAAGAGAGAUGGCAAUGUAUAGAGCAAGAGAAAUGGGGCUGUCAAUUGAUGACAGGCUCUUAAUGCAACUAUACACAAGGUACCUGUGGUUCCCAUUUAGUAGGAAUCUCGGCUUGGGAUUUGGACAUGAUGUACUGCCUUCUACUCUGCCGCAUUUUUCACAUGGGCUUUGGAGUGGCUUGGACGUUAACAACAAGGAUGAACUGACUAUGCUGGUCGGUAUUCAAUUUUACUUCUUCACAUGGUUUAUUUAUUUAUUUAUUUUGGUUGGUGUCAAUGAGUAUAUUUGUCUUCAAUAUUGUUUAAUGAUUGUAUUAUAUGGAAUCUGGUUUGCUACAAGUUUGAUGGAAUUGAUUCAAUCAGGUGCUAAAUUUAGAGGCAUGUGAAUGAUGUGCAUCUGGUUUUGGCAUCUUGUCUUUGAGUUUUGCUCUUAUUGACAAGGUAGGUGCAUCCAGGUUUGCUACCCAUGCAUGCGGUAAUCCUUGUUCUUCUGUGGGCUGUGCAUAAAAAAUUCAGUCCUAAGGGGGCAUCAUUGUGACUGAUCAAGGAGAUUUUUCUCCCUUGGUUUCUGUAGCUGUAAUUUUUCAUUACAACGAUUUUUUAUGGUGGCAUUACUGUAAUCUGGGCAGAAAAUAACCUCAGAUUGAUGACUUUGCUGAUUCCUUAGAUGUUGAUUUUUGGUACCCUAGUUUACUUGGGGAAGUCUACCCUAUGUAUAAACGGCAGACUCUUGCACAUGCCUUGCCUUAGUAGACAAUGAAAGCAUGAUCAAAUUACACCAUGUAGAAUGAAAACGAAUAAUAUUGUACCAAUUCUCUGAGUGUAGAACCUUAAUUGGAUCAUGCUUUCAUUGUUUAUUUUCCUUGUGCACACUGUCCUUUUGCUUCACUUUUGCUGGUAUUUCAUGUCUAAACUUUUUGGAUAUUUUCCAUGUUACUGAGGUUAUAGCUUAGGUACUGAGGUAGAUGGAUUUCAGUAGAUAUUAAGUUUAAAUAACACAAUAUAACCAACAAGAUUGUAUUUAUUGCUAUUUUUCUGGUGCAUUAUAGGACUUCCCAGUGGACCUUUACUCACUUUUGUUUUGAUACUUAUGAAACUUGGUAAGUGUUUUUUUGAUUUAUUACAGAUUUUCUGCUGAUGGAAAAUUUCAGAAGAAAGUAGUUACAAUGCAGAGCUUACUAAUUGAGGGGAGUUCAAAAUGAUAAUUUUUGACUUUGGAUUUAUGAAAAUUGAAGUAUUAGUAGAGAUAAGUGAGUUUGUUUCGUGUUAGUUUCUUCAUCCUUUCCAAUUGACAAUGCAGAGCUUACUCUUUACAUGUCCAUUUGAAUGACUUUAUCCUGCAUACGUGGAUUUGAAUGUUAUUAGUAAGCCAUUGCUUAGAGAUUCCCAUGUCCAUUCUUAGUGCUAUAGACCUUGGUCUUGAUGCACAGGUGACAAGUUUUUUGGGGAGUACAUUUGGACUCACUAUCUUGAUAUAGUUUCAAAUAUUUUAGCAUUUGAUACUUACGUUGGUUUCACAAGUUCAGUUUGGUUGGUCAACUCAGGUGCAUGAGAGAGUUUGUGUAACUCUCGACCAUGCGUGCAAAUGCCAAUGUAUGUGGCUUUAAAAUUUGGGCAGUGAGGACACGUGAUCCUCUAUAACCUGGAAUCACUAUGUGUCUGAAACCUUUUUGAAUGAAAAACAUGAGCUUGUAGCAAGCUAAGGUUCCAAGAGAGGUUACAUAUGUUUACCAUCAAGUGUCACAUGAACUUGUACAGACUGAUGUUUCUGUUUUCGGGUAAUUUCUUAUUUAAAAUCUUGUUGCUUCUGUUUGUGUAUGUGUGUUGGGCUGGAGGCUUCAUUAAAAUGGUGUUUCCUCAAAUUAUGAAAUAAUGCUCAUAAGUAUUAAUAUCAUCUCUUCUUGUCCAGCUUAUUAAGAAAGUGUUGCAGAAUCCUAUUCAAACACAUUCCCUUUUUUGUUUCUGGGAAGGGAAGAUUUUCCUAGUUCAGUGCUAAAUUAACAAGGAUUCUGGUUGUAUUAACUAUUUAAAAUAUAUUUCUACAUUCUGACCUUUUCCGAGAAAUUCAAAAUUUAAAAUACAAUUAGUGCGCAUUAUUAUUUUGUAAACAAAUUCUUUUAUCUGUACUACAUUAGCAGAUGAUGGAGCUCACAGGGAAUAUUUUGCAUUUUUUACCAUUGAUGCGGUAACUAAUGCACGGCAUCAUCGUUACUGUGUUUGGGUCUCAUUUGCAGGGUAAGCCUGAUUCCAAUAUUUGUGGAUCAAAGCAGAAAGCUGCCACACCACCUGCAGGUUCUGGAAAGCUCCCUUCAACAAGUUCAAACAAACCCAAGAAGUGGAGCUGUGCCCUCUGUCAGGUCAGUGCUACUACUGAGAGAGGUCUAUAUGUGCAUCUUCAAGGUAAGAAUCACAAGGCCAAGAAAAAUCUACUUAGAGAUUUAAAGAUGUUCAUUAUCUCCACUUCAAAAAAAUCUACUGAGAGCAGAGAUAGCGGUGGCCAAGAAAUGAAAACUAAAGUACAAAAGGAAUCAGUUAAAGGUAAUAAAACUGUUGUUGAUUUAGACCAGAAAGUGGAGGGUGGUCUAGAUGGGCAUUCUCAACGUAAGAAGCACAAGGCCAAGGUAGCAAGACUGCUUAGAGGUAAGAAAAUGUGUGGUAACUUCACUUCUUCUGUGUCAAAAAAAUCAACAGAAAGCAGAGGUGGUGCUGGCCAAACAAUGGAGACUAAAGCACAAGAGGAAUUAGUUAAAGCUAACAAAACUGUUGUUGGUUUAAACCAGAAAUUAAAGGGUGGUCUAGAUGGGCAUCCUCGACGUAAGAAGCACAAGGCCAAGGUAGCAAGACUACUUAGAGAUAAGAAAAUGUGCAGUAACUCCACUUCUUCUACGUCAAACAAAUCAAAAGAAAGCAGAGGUGGUUCUGGCCAAAAAAUGAAGACUAAAGUACAAGACGAAUCAGUUAAAGCUACUAAAACUGUUGUCGGUUUAAACCAGAAAGUGAAGGGUGGUCUAGAUGAGCAUCCUCAAGGUAAGAAGCACAAGGUCAAGGAAGAACUACUUGGAGCUCAGAAGUGGACAAAAAAAUCUACAGAAAGCAGAAAUAUUGCUGGCCAAGAAAUGAAGACUAAGGUAGAAGAGAAAUCUGUUAAAGCUAAUAAAACUGUUGUUGGUUCAGACCAGAAACGGGAGGGUGGUCAAGCCCAGCAGGUUAAGCCCUACCCCAAUGUUUGUGGAUCAAAGCAGGAAGCUGCCACACUACCAGCAGAUUCUGGAAAGCCCUGUUCAACGGGUUCAAAGAAACCCAUGCAUUGGAGUUGUGCCCUUUGUCAGGUCAGUUCUACUAGCAAGAGAGAUCUAGAUGAGCAUCUUCGUGGUAAGAAGCACAAGGCCAAGGAAGAAGAACUACUUGGAGCUCAAAAGUGGACAAAAAAAUCUACAGAAAGCAGAGAUGGUGCUGGCCAAGAAAUGAAGACUAAAGUAGAAGAGGAAUCCAUUAAAGCUAAUAAAACUUUUGUUCGUUUAGACCAGAAAGGGAAGGGUGGUCAAGCCCUGCAGGUUAAUCCCUAUCCCAAUCUCUGUGGAUCAAAGCAGGAAGCUGCCACACUACCAGCAGAUUCUGGAAAGCUCCGUUUGGCGAGUUUAAAGAAACCCAUGCAUUGGAGUUGUGCCCUCUGUCAGGGGAGUGCUACUAGCAAGGGAGAAUUAGUUAAGCAUCUUCAAGGUAAGAAGCACAAGGCCAAGGAAGAAGAACUACUUGGGGCUCAGAAGUGGAGAAAAAAAUCUACCGAAAGGAGAGAUGGUGCUGGCCAAGAAAUGAAGACUAAAGUAGAAGGGGGAUCCGAUAAAGCUAAUAAAACUCUUGUUGGCUUAGACCAGAAAGGGAAGGGUGGUCAAGCCCUGCAGGUUAAGCCCUAUCCCAAUCUUUGUGGAUCAAAGCAGGAAGCUGCCGCACUACCAGCAGGUCCUGGAAAGCUCCGUUUGACGAGUUUAAAGAAACCCAUGCAUUGGAGUUGUGCCCUCUGUCAGGUGAGUGCUAGUAGCAAGAAAGAUCUAGUUGGGCAUCUUCAAGGUAAAAAGCACAAAGCCAAGGAAGAAGGACUAGAAAGGGAGAAGAAACACAUGGCUCGGUCUAAUGAAUCUAAGAAAAAUGAUGAAGCCGUCCCCCUCACCACCAGCACAAUUGUGACACAAUUAGAGCCUACUGAGAAGGUUGAAGAUGAAGAUGUAGUGGCCAAAGAAUCAAAUGAAGAAACAGCAGACAGUGUUAUUGAGAAUGCUGAAGAUGAAGAGGUGGUGGUCUAUAGAGGAAGACAAAGUGGGCCGGACGCAGCAGACUCCUUGUUAUGCUGAAGGUAAAGCUGUAACUUUUAUUUUGCCCGUGCACUUCAUUUUGAAUGUCUUAAAACCAGCUGCACCUCACUCUAUCAUUUGAAAACUCGGAAAUCACAAUAAUAAAUUUAAGUUAAUUCUUCCAUCUCUUUGUAUAUGGAUUUGAAGGAACCAAUUGAUGAAGCCUAUAAAUUCAAGCAACAAUAGUGUAAUGGGGAACAUGCGCUGUUCUCUACUAUCCAGUCUUGGUAAACAGCUCAAAAAAUGAAGUGGAGAUACUAUUAGAUCUACUCUCUAUGAAAGUGCUUCAGACAUGCAUGUUUGCCACUACAAUGUUGUCAUAGCCUCAUAGAGCUGAUUCUUCACAAUUCAGAUAUUCACCCAUGAAUGGAUGGAAUUUAAGGAAAAUUUCCUUAUAAAUUCAUCAUAGGAGAAAAUUUUCUUAAAGAUGUCUUAAGAUAAAAUCCUCGUAAGAAUGAAAUUUAAUGAAAAACUCCUUAGAGAAAAUCACCCUAAGAUAAAUUCCUCCUAAAGAUGGAAUUUGAAGAAAAAUUCAUUAAAAAAAUCAUCAUAGGAUAAAAUACUCAUAAGGAUGGAAUUUAAGGAAAAAUUCCAUCAAAAAAUCAUCCUGGAAUCAAAUCCUCUUAAGGAUAAAAUUUAGGGAAAAAUUCCUUAGAGAAAAUCAUCCUACGAUAAAAUCCUCCUAAGGAUGGCAUUUAAGCAAAAAUUCCUUAGAAAAAUCAUCCUAGUAUCAAAUCCUCCUAAAGAUGAAAUUAAAGGAAAAUUUUGUUCCAAAAAUUAUCCUAGGAUAAAAUUCUCUUAAGGAUAAAAUUUCAGGAAUAAUUCCUUAGAGAAAAUCAUCAUAAGAUCAAAUAUUUUAAGGAUAGAAUUUAAGGAAAAAUUACUUAGAAAAUCAUCCUAGGAUAAAAUCCUCAUAAGGAUAUCCGAGAAUAACAUCCUCCUAAGGAUGAAAUUUAAGGAAAAAUUCCUUGGAGAAAAUCAUCAUAGGAUCAAAUCCUCCUAAGGAUGGAAUUUAAGGAAAACUUCCUUAUAAAAUCAUCGUAGGAUAAAAUUCUCUUAAAGAUAUCCUAAGAUAAAAUCCUCCUAAGGAUGAAAUUUAAGGAAACUUCCUUAGAGAAAAUCACCCUAGGAUAAAUUCCUUUUAAGGAUGAAAUUUAAAGAAAAAUCCCUUAGAGAAAAUCAUUUUAGGAGUCCAUCCUCCUAAAGAUGGAAUUUAAAGAAAAAUCCCUUAAAAAAAUCAUCCUACGAGCAAAUCCUCGUAAAGAUGAAAUUUAAGGAAAAGUUCCUCAGAGAAAAUCAUCCUAGGAUCAAAUCCUCCAAAGGAUGGAAUUUAAAGAAAAACUCCUUAGAAAAUCAUUCUAGGAUAAAUCCUCUUAAGGAUAUCUUAGGAUAAAAUCAUUCUAAGGAUGAAUUUUAAGGAAAAUUUCAUUCGAGAAAAUCAUCAUAGGGUCAAAUCCUCCUAAGGAUGGAAUUUAAGGAAAAAUUCCUUAGAGAAAAUCAUUUUAGGAUCAAAUUCUCCUAAGGAUGGAAUUCUAGGAUAAAAUUCUCUUAAAGAUAUCCUAUAAUAAAAUCCUCCUAAGGAUGAAAUUUAUGAAAACAUUUCUUAGAGAAAAUCACCAUAGGAUAAAUUCCCCCUAAGGAUGGAAUUUAAGGAAAAAUUGCUUUGGGAAAAUCAUCCUGGGAUAAAAUACUCCUAAGGAUGGCAUUUAUGGAAAAAGUCCUUAGAAAAAAUCAUCCUAAAAUCAAGUCCUCCUAAGGAUGGAAUUUAUGGAAAAAUUCCUUAGAGAAAUCAUCCUGGGAUCAAACCCACCGAAAUAUGAAAUUUAAGGAAACAUUCCUUAGAAAAAUUAUUCUAAGAUCAAAUUCUCCUAAGGAUGGAAUUUAAGAAAAAAUUCCUUCGAGAAAAUCUUCCUAGGAUCAAAUCCUCCUCAGGAUGAAAUUUUAGGAAAAAUUUCUUGAAAAAAUCAUCCUAGGAUCAAAUCCUCAUAAGGAUGAAAUUUAAGAAAAAAAUCCUUAUAAAACCAUCCUUGGAUAAAAUUCUCUCAAAGAUAUCCUAAGAUAAAAUCCUCCUAAGGAUAAAAUUUAAAGAAAAAUUUCUUAGAGAAAAUAAUCCUCGAAUCCAAUCCUCCUGUGGAUGGAAUUUUAAAAAAAAAAUUCCUUAGAAAAUUGUCUUAGGAUAAAAUGCUAUUAAGGAUAUCUUAGGAUAGAGCCCUCCUAAGGAUGAAAUUUAAGGAAAGUUUUCUUAGAAAAAUCAUCCUUAGAUAAUUUCCUCCAAAACUUAAAAUUUAAGGAAAAAUUCGUUAGAAAAAAAUUCUUAGGAUAAAAUCCUCUUAAGCAUAUCCAAGGAUAAAAUCCUUUUAAGGAAGAAAUUUAAGGAAAACUUCCUUAGAGAAAAUCAUCCUNNNNNNNNNNNNNNNNNNNNNNNNNNNNNNNNNNNNNNNNNNNNNNNNNNNNNNNNNNNNNNNNNNNNNNNNNNNNNNNNNNNNNNNNNNNNNNNNNNNNAUGGAAAUUUAAGGGAAAAUUCCCUUAGAGAAAAAUCAUUCUAGGAGUCCAUCCUCCUAAGGAUGGAAAUUAAAGAAAAAUCAUCCUACGAUCAAAUCCUCCUAAAGAUGAAAUUUAAGGAAAAGGUUCCUCAGAGAAAAUCAUCAUAGGAUCAAAUCCUCCUAAGGAUGGAAUUUAAAAAAAAAAAUUCCUUAGAAAAUCAUUCUAGGAUAAAAUCCGCUUAAGGAUAUCCUAGGAUAAAAUCAUUUUAAGGAUGAAAUUUAAGGAAAUUUUCCUUCGAGAAAAUCAUCAUAGGGUCAAAUCCUUCUAAGGAUGGAAUUUAAGGAAGAAUUCCUUAGAGAAAAUCACUCUAGGACAAAUUCCUCCUAGGGAUGGAAUUUAAGAAAAAAUUCCUUAGAGAAAAUCAUCCUAAGAUAAUAUCCUCAUAAGGAAGGAAUUUAAGGAAAAUUUCCUUAUAAAAUCAUCAUAGGAUAAAAUACUCUUAAAGAUAUCUUAUAAUAAAAUCCUCCUAAGGAUGAAAUUUAUGUAAACAUUUCUUAGUUCCUCCUAAGGAUGGAAUUUAAGGGAAAAUUGCUUAGGGAAAAUCAUCCUAGGAUAAAAUACUCCUAAGAAUGACAUUUAUGGAAAAAGUCCUUAGAAAAAAUAAUCCUAGAAUCAAGUCCUCCUAAGGAUAGAAUUUAUGGAAAAAUUCCUUAGAGAAAUCAUCAUGGGAUCAAACCCUCCGAAAUAUGAAAUUUAAGGAAACAUUCCUCAGAAAAAUCAUCCUAAAAUCAAAUCCUCCUAAGGAUGGAAUUUAAGGAAAAAUUCCUUAGAGAAAUCUUCCUAGGAUCAAAUCCUCCUUAGGAAGGAAUUUCAGGAAAUAUUUCUUGAAACAAUCAUCCUAGGAUCAAAUCCUCAUAAGGAUGAAAUUUAAGAAAAAAUUCCUUAUAAAACCAUCCUUUGAUAAAAUUCUCUUAAAGAUAUCCUAAGAUAAAAUCCUCCUAAAUAAAAUCCUUCUAAGGAUGAAAUUUAAAGAAAAUUUUUUUAGAGGGAAUAAUCCUCGAAUCCAAUCCUCCUAUGGAUGGAAUUUAAGAAAACAUUCCUUAGAAAAUCAUCUUAGGAUAAAAUCCUAUUAAGGAUAUCUUAGGAUAGAGUCCUCAUAAGGAUGAAAUAUAAGGAAAAUUUUCUUAGAAAAAUCAUCCUUAUAUAAUUUCCUCUAAAACAUGAAAUUUAAGAAAAACUACCUUAGAAAAAAUAAUCCAAUGAUCAAAUCCUCCCAAGGACAAAGUCCCCCUAAGGAUGGAAUUUAAGGAAAAAUGCCUUGGAGAAAAUCAUCCUAGGAUCAAAUCCUCCUAAGGAUGGAAUUUAAGGAAAAAUUCCUUAUAAAAUCAUCAUAGGAUAAAAUUCUCUUAAAGAUAUUCUAAGAGACAACUUUCCUAAGGAUAAAAUUUAAGCAAAAAUUCCUUAGAGAAAAUCACUCAAGGAUAAAUUCUUCUUAAAGAUGCAAUUUAAGGAAAAAUUCCUUAGAAAAUGAUCUUAGGAUAAAAUCCAGUUAAGGAUAUCUCAGGAUAAAAUCCUCCUAAGGAUGAAAUUUAAGGAAACAUUCAUUGCAGAAACUCAUUCUAUGAUCAAAUCUUCCUAAGGAUGGAAUUUAAGGGAAAAUUUCUUAUAAAAUCAUCACAGGAUAAAAUUCUCUUUACACUGUCAUAAGAUAAAAUCCUCCUAAGGAUGAAAUUUAAGGAAAAUUUCCUUAGAGAAAAUCAUUCUAGGAUAAAUUCCUUCUAAGGAUGGAAUUUAAGGGAAAAUCCCUUAGAGAAAAUCAUUCUAGGAGUCCAUCCUCCUAAGGAUGGAAUUUAAAGAAAAAUCAUCCUACGAUCAAAUCCUCCUAAAGAUGAAAUUUAAGGAAAGGUUCCUCAGAGAAAAUCAUCAUAGGAUCAAAUCCUCCUAAGGAUGGAAUUUAAGAAAAAAUUCCUUAGAAAAUCAUCUUAGGAUAAAAUCCUAUUAAGGAUAUCCUAGGGUAAAAUCCUUCAAAUGAUGAAAUUUAAGGAAUAUUCCUUAGAGAAAAUCAUCCUAGGAUCAAAUCCUCCUAAGGAUGGAAUUUAAGGAAAAUGUCCUUUGAGAAAAUCCUCUUAUGGAUGAAAUUUAAGGAACAAUUCCUUAGAGAAAAUCACCCUAGGAUAAAUUCCUACUAAGGGUGGAAUUUAAGGAAAAAAAUCCCUUAGAGAAAAUCAUCCUAGGAUAAAAUCCUCCUAAUGAUGGAAUUUAAAGAAAUAUUCCUUAGAAAAAUCAUCAUAGGAUAAAAUCCUCCUAAAAAUAAAAUUUAAGGAAAAUUUUCUUAGAGAAAAUCAUCAUAUGAUCAAAUCCCCGUAAUGAUGGAAUUUAAGGAAAAUUUUCUUAGAAAAUCAUUCUAGGAUAAAAUCCUCUUAAGGAUAUCCUAGGACAAAGUCCUCCUAAGGAUGGAAUUUAAGGAAAAAGGCCUUAGAGAAAAUCAUCCUAGGAUCAAAUCCUCCUAAGGAUAGAAUUUAAGGAAAAAUUCCUUAGAGAAAAUCAUCUUAGGAUAAAUUCCUCCUACGAAUGAAAUUUUAGGAAAUAUUCCUUAGAAAAUCAUCAUAGGAUAAAAUACUCUUAAGGAUAUCCGAUGAUAAAAUCCUCCUAAUGAUUUUUUUUUAAAAAAAUCUUAGCAUAAAAUUCUCACAAGGACAUCCUGAGGAAAUCCUCCUAAGGACAGAAAUCAAUGACAAAAUCUUCCUAAGUAUGGAAUUCUUGGAUAAAAUCCUCCUAAGGAUGUUUAAAAAAAAUCUUGGAUAAAAUUCUCCUAGGGAAAGCCUCCUAAGGAUAGAAAUCAAGGAUAAAAUAUUCCUAAAGAUGAAAUCUUUGGAGAAAAUCCUCCUAAAGAUAUUUUAAAAAAAAAAGUCUAAAUUUUUUAUUUUAAAAAUUUUAGACUUUGGGGUGGGGGCAACAGUUGCACGAAAAAUAAAAUAUUUCUAAUUAAGGCCCAAAUAAAUUUAAUCUCAAUAAGGCCUAUUUAAUAAAUUUACUCCGAAUUAAGUUCAGAAGUAGUGGAUGUUAGCCUAAAAGGCUACACAUAAUAUAAUUUUGAUGAUAACAAACAACUGUCUAAGUGAUUUAAUAAAUAUUGUAUUUCACAUUUUCUCUAUUUUUUAAAGGAUAAUAUUUAUGCAAGUGAAUCAAGUAAAAUCAAGUUCAACACACUCAACGGAUAACGGCGAAAUCAAGAAUAAAGUUUACAGUUCAACAGAUAAAUUAUUGCGAUAACUUCUUGUAAAGCCGAUAUAAUUUAAUUAAUACAUGAUUUAAUAUUUGAGAAGUUCAAGAGUUUAUUUAAAUAAUUACUUUUUAUAAGCUAAAAGGUUUUAUAUUUAUAAGAUAAAGAAUUUUGUGGAUUUAAGUAAUUUGCACUAAAAUGAAAAGUUUUGCAAUCCUUGAAUUUAAUAAGUAUUUUUUAAAAUUCUAGUUAGACCCAUUUGCAAAUAUUUUAAACGUUUUGUGCCAUACUAUAAUUUAUUCAAGUUUGAGCACUCGAAUGUAAUCCAAACAUUUGAAAUCCAAAAUUGGAUAGAGUGAGCGGCUAACCUCCUGAGGUCUAGCGGCUAGCCGCCUGAGGAAAAUCUCAUAUUUUCAAAUUUUGGAUUAAAUUGAAAGGAUUUGAGAACUUUGAUAUUUAUGAAUAUUUUGUUAAAUCUUGAAAAGGACAUCUUUGAAAAAUAUUAUUAUAUGUUGGGCCAUAUUAUUAUUUUAUAAAGUUUAGAGAAUGACAAGCAUAAUUUAAAAAUUCUGAAAUUGGACCUUUUAUGUAAAAUUGUAUGACGUUGUAGGCCAUCGUAUAAUUAUAGAAAGUAUUGGGCUAUAAUAUAAUUUUAGAAAGUUUUGGGCAAAAUAUAAUUUUGUGAACAAUAUUACUAUAGCAAAAUUCAAAUUUAACGGUAAUUUUACUAUACUGGAGCGGCUAGCCGGCCAAAUUAAGCGGCUAACUGCUUGGGCGUGGGAAUUUGCCUAUAACGGCUAGUUUUUGGGCUUUAACUAUAAAAAUCCAACUCCAACUUCAUUAUAAAGACUAAUGCAAGCAUAAAUAAGAUCAUAUAACACAUAUUGGGCUUCUAUUUCGCAAAUCAUCAUUUAUUGAAUCAUUAUUGUGCUAUUAUUUGCAUAUCCUCUCUUAAAGAGAGUUUUUGUUGUAAUUUUCAUUUCUCAUCAAAUUGUGAGUGUACACAAGUGUGAGAAACACUUGGGGUGAAGAGAUUGAGGAGAUAAUCUCUUGAUUGUAAAGGUUCAUUGACACCUUGGAAGUCAAUUGUAAAAACUUGAAGCCUUGAAAGGUUUGGAUAGUGAAAUCCUCGAGCUUGGUUGGCUUGGAAGUGUGGACGUAGGCGGGAAUUGCCGAACCACGUAAAAAUUGUUGUGUUUGCUUUCUCUUCCCUUACUCUUUUAUUAUUGUGAUUUACUAAAUUUAUUAUUUUUGUAUUUGAUUAAGGCAAUAGAUUAAAUUGUUGUGCGAAUUGUUUAGCAUAAGUUUUAAAAUCUCAAUUCACCCCCCUCUUGGGUUGCAUAACUUGCAUUUCAUUGGACAAACUACCUUGAAAAGUCCUCCUAAGUAACAGGACUUCAACGCCCAAAGGGUUCCAAGAUCCAUGGCCAAAAGGAUCUGAGGUCCUAGGUUCCUAUCCUAAGACAAACCACCUAGGAUAAAUCAACUAGGUGGCAAGGUCUCAAAGCCCAAAAGGAGCCAAGGUCCUAGGUUCUUAUCCUAAGACAAACCACUUAAGAUAAAUCAACUAGGUGGUAAGGAUUCAAAGCUCAAAAGGUGUCGAGGUCCUAAGCUUUUAUCCUAGGACAAACCUCAUAAGUUUGAAGGUUCCUAUGAUCCCAAGGUCUUAGUAAAAAUAACUUAAGGAUAAAAUGUUUCUUCCUUUAAUCCGUAGACAAGUUUGCACAUCCAUAUGUUAAUUCACACAAGCACUAAAAGAAAAGUGCUGCCAAAUAUCACAAGAACAAUGGCAUUUGUCAUCAAAGUAACUAGCAUUCAAGUCAAAUCAGUUUUGCUUAUAAACAUAUCCCUCGUUCUCACUAAAAGGUAAGAAACAAUGGAUUCAAGAGGGGAAAUGCUAACUUUCUCUCUUUAGUUCUCUCUCCCUAAAAUUAUAUUUCUAAAGAUCCAAUGACUAAUUUGCUCGUCGGAGGGUUUACGCCGGCAAAGCCGGCCCUCUGAUCCUUUUCUUGUGUCUGUAGAGUAUCAUUGAACGAGAACAUUCUCAUUGCUUAAGGAAGUGAACUCAAAAGAAGUAAUAUAAAGGCCCAUUAAGAUCAACCCAAUGGGUAAACUCACCAUUGUCAAAUCCAACAAAGAGGAACCCAAGUCCUAAGGGGGUUGAUCUCAGUUAGAAUUUCCAUAUAAGCAGUUGGGACAAAAUUUGCACCAAAAAAUUGAUAUAUUACUGUCUUUUUCUUUAGAUUUAUAAGUAGCGUUGUAGUGCUAUACUAAAUGAAUCAUUGUAAUUUAAUUAUUAUACAACGAUUAAUUCUGGAGUAAGUGAGAAAUUUCAAUCACGGACAAAAUAUAAGAUUGAUAAUUAUUGAUUAGGUUAAUAAUCCAUGGCAAUAAAUUCUGAUAAGUUUACAUCAAAAUAAUAUCGAGAUUUCUUGAACAUGCACAAUCGAUUUUGAGUCUGUCAUUAACACAUUAACCUAAUUAAGCUCCUUAGUCCUUACAUAUGCAGUGAGAAAUAACUUUUUUUUUGUAGAAAUAAUAAUAUAUCCUAUCCUUUGAAUAAUUGAAUUCCACCUUCGGCUGCAGAAUGAUCCAUUUUAAGAUCUGUGGCAGACUGGUAGGUCAAGUCUAUUUAGGAAAUAGAAAAUAUAAUUUAGUUGGUUUAAUUAUUUUGGGUUUAAUGAGGAUCUAGAAGCAUACAAGGAGUUAUUUAGGAAGCAAAUUAAUGAAGACCCGCAAGCUUGGAUAACAUAAAUCAUGUAAACUGGACACGGUUGAUUUGUGAAGAUUGCAUGCUAAUUAGUGUUGCAUGGUUGCUUAUAGUCUAAGAAUUGGUCACUUGAUCGUUAUAUAAAGGGCUUGCAAUUUGUACUUCCGAGGCUUGAUGACAUAAACCGUAUGUAAAUCUUUUUCAUACUAUUUUUUUCUCUUUUUUUAAAGGUAAGCCAAGUCAAAUUUUCUUUUGAUUCGAUUAAACCGAGUCGGAUUCUAAAUAUAUUUUAAGUUCCGUUCAAUUAACCAAGUCGACAAAUUUUGUUAGUGCUAUCUCUUCCUUUUUUUUUUUAUUACAACGAUCAUGUUUGCCUCGGUUCAAACCCCGAAACAGCACAAAAACGACAUCGUUUCGAUAUUAUUAUUAUUAUUAUUAGUUUUGAUUCACUAUAAUACGACACCAUUUGGCUUGGAAAAGGCAAAGGAAAUGGUAACCCAGCUGCUUUCUCUCCUCUAGGCGAUAGGGUUUAGCUUAGAUCACGUAAAAGCAAAAGCAAAAGCUCGAACAAGGAUGAGUUUCAGCAUUGUCCCUGAAAGAUGAUUUUGGACAUUUACUGUGGCUGUGAAAAUGUUCUGGCAGCAGAUUGAUUUUCUAUGUGGCUUUGCAAUAAGAUAAAGUAUUGUCUUCUUUAGCAUAAAGUUGAGUUUCAAAGCUUAAAUUGUGCUUGAUGUUGAUUAAUAAGCGGGUAAUAAUCUGAGCAUUUGUUUCUAUAUUUCCAUAUUAAUAAGCGAGUUUCAUUGCCUUGUUGUUAAAUUAAGUUAAUAUAAUGGGUAAUAAGCUGAGUAUUUUUUUCUAUAUUUCAUUUUGAGUGUUGUUGAUUAAUAAGUGAAGCAAUUUCAACCAUCUCGUGAGUCCUGACCUUAUGAUGCGAUGCUUUUACAUCAAGCUUGAGCUAUUCAUUUUGUUUCUAUUUUCUAUUUCUAAAUUUAAUGAAUUUGCAAUAAUUAAUUAAUAAUAUAUUGAAUUAUUUUAAUUUGCAGCAGUGAAUGGAUAAUUUAGAACAAGUGGAGGAGGUUGAUAAAGUAGAAGAAUUGCAAGAUUUUCAAGGGGGAUAAUUUUGAAGAAAAUAAUGAGGAAUUGGUGGAAAAUGUUAUUGAGCCUAAGGUUGGGAUGUCUUUUAACAUUCCUGAUGAAAUGUUUGAAUAAUAAAAACCUUAUGCCUACAAGAAGGGUUUCCAGUGAUGCGGAGAUCUUAUAGAAAAGGGGAUGAUAGGAGUUUGAAAUAUGUGACAUUUACUUGUGGGCGAAAUGGCAAGUCAGAAAGCAAAUCUAAUCAUGUUUUGCUGCUUUAACCUAACCAAAAAAAUGGAUGCAAUGCUAAAAUUGGAAGACGUUUGGAUGUUUUUUGUGGAAAAUAAAUAAUUGGAAAUUUGUACUUUGAACACAACCAUAUUGUGAGUCCGAGCAAGAGUAGGUAUUAUCAAUGCAACCGUACCAUUAGUCCUUUUGUUAAAAAACAACUUAAAAUAAACGAAGAAGCAAUAAUUAAAAUGACUUAAAGUUUCAAGUCGAUUGUUAUUGAGGUUGGUGGCUUGGAAAAUGUCUCAUUUUUAGAUAGAGAUGCUAGAAAUCAUGUUGAUAAGGUGAGGCGAUUAACGCUCGAAGAAAAAGAUGCUGCUACAAUUUAGAGAUAUUUAAAAAAAAUACAAACAGAUAAUGAUGGGUUUUUCUUUAGUCUUGACUUAGAUGAGGAAGGUUGGUUAAAAAAUGUAUUUUGGGCAGAUCCAAGGAGCAGGCCAGCCUAUAAAGACUUCGAAGAAGUUGUCACGUUUGACACCACAUACCUUACAAACAAGUAUGACAUGUCAUUUGCUUCUUUUGUGGGAGUUAAUCAUCAUGGUUAUUCAAUUUUUUUAGGAUGCGAGUUGAAUUCACAUGAGGACACGAAUAUAUUUAUGUGGUUAUUUGACACAUGACUACAUGUAUGUCUGGCUCUCUUCCCCUUGGAAUCAUCAAAGACUAAGACAAAGUAAUGAAAAAUGCAAUUGAGAUCGUUCUUCCAAAUACUAGUCAUCGAUGGUGUUUGUGGCAUGUACUAAAGAAGGUGCUUCAGAAGUUAGGAAGGUAUGCAGAAUAUCAUGACAUUAGAGUUUCGUUGCAUUAUGUUGUUUAUGAUUCACAGACUCCUGUUGAAUUUAAUGAAGCAUGGCAUGACAUAUUAUAGAAAUACGAUCGUGGUAAUAAUCAGUGGUUAAAUGGUUGAUACAAUGAAAAAAUUCAUUGGGUUUCAUGUUUUGUUAAAACUACUUUUUAGGUUAGAAUGUCAACUACUCAACUUAGUGAGAGUAUGAAUGCUUUAUUUGAAGGGUAUGUUAACUUAAAAACAACCUUGAAGCAAUUUGUAGAGAAAUAAGAGAAAACAAUGGAAAGCAAAAUUGAGAAAAAAUGGCAAGCAGAUGCUAGGUGUUUUAGCCAACGGAUGCCAUGUCAUACCAGUUUUACAACGGAGAAGCAAGUUGAAGGAGUGUACACUAUCUCCAAGUUUCAAGAAUUUCAACAGGAGCUAAUGAAUAAGAUGUAUUGUGAGGUUUUUAGUUAUGGGGAUCAGAAUAUGAAGUCAUUGAAAAUGAUAGAAAGAGUAAAAAAAAACUUUUAAAGUUAUUUUUGAAAAAGAUGAAGGUGAAAUUCAUUUUAUGUGUUCAAUGUUUGAAUAUAAGGGCAUUUUUGUAGACAAGCCAUUGCAGUGUUGCUAUAUAACCAUAUACAAUUACUUCCUGACAAGUAUAUCAUACAAAGAUGGAGAAAAUAUGUGCGGAGAUGCUACAGUAAAGUCAAAGUCAGCUAUGAUGUGAGGAGUUCAAGCAUUGAACAUCAGCAGUUUAAAAAGGAGUGCAUUGCUUUUUAUGAUAUUGCUAAGGUGACUUCAAAAAAUUAAGAAAACUAUAAAAAAAUAUUAUGGGUUGGAUGAAGAAAGUAAUAAAGGUUCUAUUCCUGAAUAUUUGAUGUGACAAUGACGAUACAAUUGUUGAUGGUGGAUCAGGAAAUUGUACUGAAAUCAUACAGGAUCUAGUAGUAAGUCGUCAUAAAGGUCGUCCACCUUGCCAAAGAAAGCAAAAACAAUUUAAAAAGCCAAAAUAAAAGUUGAACAAUAUUUUUGUAAGCACAAUUGUAGAGGUAAUUAUAUUAUAUCAAAGUAAUUUAAAUUACUUUAAUACAUUCACUUUAAAUUAAUUUAAUAUAUAUUUUAAAUGUAUCUUGAUUGUUUUCGUAGGACUCGGAGAUACAUGAUUUAUCAUCUCAAUUGACUACCACAAUCCCAACACAAAAGAGCAAUAUGGCCAUGGUAGUAUUUUUUAAUUUGCCAUUUUCAUUUGUCAUAUGUUUGAUAAUUUGUGUUUAAUUUUUUUUUUUGUACAAUACCUAGCACAAUAGGCACUCCCAGAAUAUGUAUUUUUUUCCCCUUACUAUCAGUAUUGGAUAAAUUAGGCUGAAUUCAUCACGUAAACUUCCAACAAUUACCACAACCAAAUUUUGAGGAUGCCAAUCGGAGGGAUUUUUCAACUAAUGAACCGAGCACAUGAUCGAAAUUAACUUGUGUUAUGUUUUUAUGUAUUAUUUUGGUUUUGUCAGUUGUUGAAUGCAAUUAAUUUACAUGUAUAAAUGCAAUUUAUAUUUAUACUUUUGUUUAGUCAUUUGUAUCUUUAAAUAAGUGAUCGUUUCACUAUAAUUUCAAAUUGUCGGAUCGUCAUUUUCUUGAUUUCAGAUUACCAUUAGCAUCCAGAAACUAAACUCCAAUUUUGCGCAAUGUCGAUUACCCUUUUUCCCAUUGAUAGUUAGUCGGUAGCAUCCAAAAUUGAUAAAAUCUUGCAUUAAGAUAAUUAGUUAGCCAUUUUAUGAGUUAACAUGAAUUCAUUUAUUGCCAGAAAAUUAUUCUUUGCUCAAUUCAUGAUAUGGGUUAAGUAUUUUGAUCCGAUUAAAGAUUUUUUCAAAUUUAAUCAAUUUUGAAAUACAUUUGUUAUCAUCAAAAUCAUUAUUAAGGAAGCAUACAUGUUAAUAAUUAAGUCAAAUGAUUUAGAAACUUAUACUUCGCAGGAAAAUGGUCUACAUAUGCCUACAAGUCUUUUAGAGUCUUUUUCAGUUACAUAGUACAGAUUUAAACAACUUAAAAAUAAUACUUGAAUAGAAAGCAUAAUACAAUAAUCACAAGUAUUUUAAUAAAAUCAAAUUGUGGUGUCUGUCUUCUUCAAAGUUGGUCGUCCAACAAUCGCCUUUGCACCUCACAUUCUUGCAUACGCUCAAGUUCUUUGUGCAAUAAUUGAAAUUUAUUGGACAAAUACUCAAUCUCCAAUGCCAACUUCCCAACCUCCUCUACUAACAAGUCAAUUUUCUCUUCACUAGAUUUACGGUAUUCUGCCCAUUGAAAGUCCUUACAUCCUCUACGAAUCUAAAAUUUGCGAUUUGGAUUCUUUAUUGUAUGUGACGUUAAGAAAUCCAUCCAAUCACCGCAUCUGUUGCAUAUUUGCAAUGAGUUUAGAUUCUUAAUUAUGCUGGAUGACAUUAUGAUUAGUAUACAGCUGAAACUGCCCAAAAAAGAAAAAAAAAGCCUAAUUCAGUUUAGGAAUAAGUUUUAUAUGUAAGUCUAUUCCAAUAUCAAUUAUUCCACAACAUCAUCUGAUUUAUUUUACCUCAACUUAUCUCAACAGCAGCUAGACCAAAUCUUUUCUAUUUCUCAAAUUCCUAGAUCUACACCCGAAAAAGGGAAUUAGUACUUGAAAAUUAGUUUAAGGGCUGCUGCACAAAGCUUUGAUCAGUACAAAAUCCCCUAACAAUGGCACUAAUAUUGAACUAUGACCUAAAAUUACUCUUUAUCAAGGUAAGACGCAUGAAAAUGACCAAAAAAUUACUACCAUUGUAAGUAGCUGCCAAUUGCACUGCAAUAUAGUUGUUACCUAAUCCAGCAACAACAACAGGAGGAUUAGGUAACAAUUAUACCAUACAUUUUAUGAAAAUCGUACAUUUUACAAAGGAAUCUGUUGUAGUAAGGACACUAAUCAUGUAUCUCUAAACAUUUUUAAACAAAACAACCAGCCUUAACUCCCCAAAUUAAACACUAGAUACUCUGAACCAUAACUCCUCACAUCAAAGAUCAGAAACUCUAAACCACAAAUUUUAAAGGAAAGAGGAAACAUUUUAAAGGACACAUAUCAAUUUGAAUAUACAGUAUAAACAAAUUGAUUAUACAACAAUUACAAUAGACAUAUCAAUUUGAAUAUGCAGUAUAAACAACUACGAUGAAGGAAAGGAGAAACAUUUUAUAAGACACAUAUAAACAACUAUAACAUAACCUGAAACCACAAACAACUACAAGAUCAACUAGUCUUGUAUUCUAUUAUUGUUGUUGAAAUCCAUACCUCAACCUACAUAGUACAUAUUGUCGAGUGUUAGAAAGUGUAUAUUUAUAAAGGAGAAAAUCGUCAUUUUACAUUUUAAGUCUCACUAACAUCCCUACUUUUAUGUAUUUAAGUCUCUUGUGAUUUAAUUAUGUGUGUUGUAUUAUAAUUAAGUAUUUUAUGUAUUUUAGGAGCAUCAUGGUUAUUUCACAAUGAACGAGAGAUCAGACAGUAAAACGAACAUUACUUUUGAACUCAGGAUAGUCGAAAACCUUAGGAGGAGCAUAAAAGGACAAAUGGCAUUGUUCACAUGUAUGGUACUAUUCACAUGUACCGUACUAUCCAUGAUACUGUUCACGAUGACAUGGCAUUGAUCGAUGACGUGGCACUGACCAAUGAAGUAUCACGAUCCUAUUAGACUAAAAUUUUUAUGUACUAUUGAUCGGUGGCGUGGCAGCAUGUUAGUGGAUUGAAAAUCGUGCAUACGGUACAUGCAUAUACACAGAAUUAUUUAUAACCAAACUGCAUUACUAUUCAAGCCGCCUCACUGUUCAUACAGUGUAACUAUUCAAACUGCGUGGUCAAAUCGCGUACUGUUGACACGUGGCGCAAUCCUGAGGGUCCAAAUUGUUUUUAAUCCGACGACCAUGAUUUACUCAAUGUAUCAAUAAAAAAGAGGCUCCCCCCUAAUUUGACAUCACUAAAUUCAUUUUUGAGCUCCAUUUUCUGUAAUUUCCUCUCCAUGUUGUAUUUUCUAUGUAUUUUAAUAAAUUUUUAUUUUACCCUUAGUUUAAUUAUGAGUAGCUAAUUUUCUUUCAAACUUGGGUUGAAGGUGAAGUCUCAACAUAUUCCAUGGGCUUAAUUUGGUAAAUUUACUUUCUUUUCCCCUUUGAUUUUUGUGGAUGUUUUGACUUUUCGUCAACAGAUAAUAAUAAUCUUGUCUAGAUACCGCACUGGUAUAUUGAUGAAGAGUAGGAAUCCAUAUUAUACUAGGAUUAGUUUCCUUAUUAACUAAAGUUUAAGACUUUUAAAUUCCUUUCUAAUUUAGAAUUUUGUUUCCCUUUCAAUUUAGGAUUUUAUUUUACUUCAUGAAUUAGGAUAAUUACUACUACUAUAAAUAGCUCCCUCUUGUAGCCUUUGAAAGCAGAGAUUUUUGAGUUUAAUAAUAUUUCAAUUUUCAAAUCUCUUUGUGAGUAUUUGAACAGUUAAUUCUCGGUAUUCUGCGGAAUCAACGAGUCUUAAUCCCUAAAUUCGCGGUAUUAUUUUGAAUCAACGUGAAUUUAGUUGUUCUUUUGUUCCGGUAUUCUCUAAAAUCAACGGAAUAUUUUGAACAUUAAACUUCCGCUGCAUCAGUUUGGUAUCAGAGACAAAACCUGGUAUCACCAAUCUAACUCCAUCUACCACCAAACCUUUCCUUUUUCCCUUUUUGAUUUUUUCCAUUUAGCUUAAAAAAAAAAAAAAAAAACCCCACUUUUUCAGACAAACCACCACCAUCAUCUUACCAACCCAAAAUCUUUCAGAUCCACCCACCCUUACUCGAUUUCCGACCACCAUCAUCGGCAAUCUAAAACUUUUUGCUUAAUUACAGUUUCGGCCUAAAAUUUUAUUUACUUUCAGUUUAACCCCACUACCUUUUUAAACCCGAAUUUGAAAAAAUGCCUCCAAGAAAAGCUCGUGAUGCUCAUACUACAACUUACAAUCAAGAAGAUGUUUCGAAAGAUGAAUCCCUGGCUAGUAUGACAGCCAGAAUUGAUAUGUUAGCUGCACAAAUGGCACGAAUAGCAGAGUUACUUGACGAACGUCAUCGUACUCCAGAACGUGAAGACAAAUCAAGUGUAAGCUUUGCUAACCCAUUCUCUGGGCGUCGACCUAGAACUGAGUCUACUGAUGACAGAAGAUGGGAAUCUGGGUUGAGAAUUGACAUUCCCAAAUUUCAAGGAAGUGGUCGACCUGAAGAAUUAUUAGACUAGAUUAACGCCAUUGAGGAAGUUUUCGAAUACAAAGAAGUUCCUGAAAAUAAACUAGUUUCGCUUGCUGCAACUCGAUUUCGUGGAAGAGCAGCAGCUUGGUGGCAACAAACUAAGCUCACAAGGAUUAGGCAAGGCAAAAAGAAGAUUGAUUCUUGGGAAAAGUUCAAGAAGCACUUGCGUGGAGCAUUCUUGCCUCAUAAUUACGCCAAACUGUUAUACCAACAGCUAUAGAAUUUAAGGCAAGGUAAUCGAUCAGUGGAUGAUUACACUACAGAAUUUCAUUGGUUGGUGGCCCGCAAUGACUUGACAGAGACAGAAGAACAACAGGUUUCCCGCUACAUUGGAGGCCUACGAUCUCAAUUUCAAGACCAAUUAAAUUUACUUGACUCAUACUCUGUUUCAGAGGCACACCAACAAGCCUUGCAGUUGGAGAAGCAAUUUAGUCGACGUACUAAUGACUCAAGCUUUCGGGGUGCUCGAAGUGUUGUUCGUGAUAAUUCAAACCCAACUUCCCAAUUUCGUAAUUUCACUCCUCCAAAUCCUCCAAAUAAAACUAGUAAACCUAGUGAAAUCGGUCAAAGCAGCAAAACUCAAUCAUCGGGUUCGGGAUUACGCUGUUUUAAUUGCGGAGAAAAUGGGCACCGAAUGACAGAAUGUAAAAAGGGAGGAAAAUAUGGUAAAGGCUUAUUCGUAGGCACAGAGGAAAGUGAAGACUACCAGGAGGAAGAAACUGAAGAGUUCGCUGUAAAGCCAACUUUUGAUAGUAGUGGUAGCGCUCAAUCUGUUGAAGAACAUGGUGAUAGCGGGCCAAUGUUGAUCUUGAACCGCACAUUCUUCACUCCUAAAGGUCAAGACAAAGACAAGUGGCUACGACAGAAUAUCUUUCAGACUACUUGCACAAUCGGGGGUAAAGUAUGUCGUAUGGUCAUAGACUCCGGCAGUUGCGAGAAUGUCAUUUCGGAAGAAGCCAUAACAAAGCUAAAUUUAAAGACAGAACCUCAUCAAACUCCAUACAAGCUCACAUGGCUGAAGAAGGAAAAUCAAGUGACAGUAUCGAAACGUUGCUUAGUUUCCUUAUCCAUUGGUUCAAUUUAUAAAGACAAAAUUUGGUGUGAUGUUGUGGCUAUGGAUGCUUGUCAUCUAUUACUGGGUAGACCUUGGCAAUAUGAUCGAAACGUAGUGCAUGAUGGGAAGAGAAACACCUACAGCUUUAUGUUUAACAACACCAAGAUCGUUCUCCUACCUAACAAAGAGUUUACUCUCCAGCAAGACUUGGGUAAUUAUUUGUUAGGAAAGAAGCAAUUUAUAGAUGUUGUAGCAGAGACAAAGAGAGUCUACAUUUUAUUGGGAAAAGAGAGUAACGGUGAUUCGAAGAUUCCUGAAGCUGUGACACCUAUUCUGGCGGAAUUUCAAGAUUUGUUCCCUAAUGAGCUACCACAGGGUUUACCACCUCUUCGAGAUAUACAACACCAAAUUGAUUUGGUACCAGGUUCUACAUUACUAAAUCGACCUCAUUAUCGUAUGAGUCCUACAGAACAUGAGGAAUUAAGGCGCCAAGUGGAAGAGUUACUAGAAAAGGGAUUUAUCCGUGAAAGUCUUAGUCCCUGUGCAGUCCCUGCUUUAUUGACUCCAAAAAAAUAUGGUUCUUGGAGGAUGUGCGUGGACAGUCGAGCUAUCAAUAAAAUUACAGUUCGAUAUCGUUUUCCAAUCCCUCGAUUAGACGACUUGUUAGAUCAACUCAGUGGAGCAACAAUUUUUACCAAACUUGAUUUGAAAAGUGGCUACCAUCAAAUUCGAAUACGGCCUGGAGAUGAAUGGAAAACAGCUUUUAAAAUUCGCGAAGGGUUAUACGAGUGGUUGGUAAUGCCGUUUGGCUUAUCUAAUGCUCCGAGUACUUUUAUGCGAGUCAUGAAUCAAGUUCUUCGCCCUUUCAUUGGAAAGUUUGUGGUUGUUUACUUCGAUGAUAUACUUAUAUAUAGCACCAGUCACGAGUUACAUCUACAACAUUUGAGAGAAGUGCUUUUAGCCUUAAGAGCAACAAGUUUAUACACAGCAGUAAACAAGUGUAUUUUCUUGACCGAGAAAGUAUUAUUUUUGGGAUAUGUGGUGUCGAAGGAUGGUAUAUCUGUUGACCAAUCAAAAGUGGAUGCUAUUCGAGAUUGGCCUCAGCCAACUACUUUAUCCGCCACUAGAAGUUUCCAUGGAUUGGCCUCUUUUUACAAGCGAUUCAUUCCUCAUUUCAGUACUAUUAUGGCACCAAUCACAAAUUGCAUGAAAGGAGGACAAUUCUCUUGGACAGAGGCAGCUACUAAGGCAUUCAAGAUUAUCAAAGAAAAGUUGAUUACUGCCCCAGUACUUGCCCUACCAGAUUUUUCGCUCACUUUUAAGGUACAUUGUGAUGCUUCUAAGGUCGGCAUUGGAGCUGUUCUUAGCCAACAGGGUAAGCCUAUAGCUUAUUUCAGUGAGAAGUUGAAUGGAGCAAAGGCACACUACAGCACUUAUGACGUGGAAUUUUACGCAGUAGUCCAAGCGUUAAAACAUUGGCGACAUUAUCUAAUUCAUAAAGACUUUGUUUUAUACACUGACCAUGCCGCGUUAAAGUAUCUCAAUAGUCAAGACAAGCUCUCUCACAGACAUGCCACGUGGACAGCAUUCCUUCAACAAUUUACCUUUGUGGUGAAGCAUACCUCUGGUGAAUCAAACCGGGCAGCAGAUGCACUUAGUCGACGAACUUCGUUAUUGACACAGAUGCAUAAUCAAGUUCUUGGAUUUGACACAUUUCGAGAGUUAUAUGCUUCUGAUCCUUACUUUGCUCCUAUAUUAGAAGACGUUGUUGCAGGGUUUCGCUCAGAUUAUCAUUUACAUGACGAAUUCCUUUUCAAGAGUAAUCAAUUGUGUGUUCCUAACUCAAGUUUGAGAUUGAAAAUCAUUUCAGAGUUAUAUAAUGAAGGGCACAUGGGUCGUGACAAAACUCUGGCUCUAAUCGCCAACACUUAUUUUUGGCCUACUAUGAGGCGUGAAGUCUAUCACUAUGUUGAGACUUGUCGCAUUUGUCAAGUUUCCAAGGGUGCAGCAACUAAUGCUGGGUUAUAUAUGCCGCUGCCAAUUCCAACACAACCUUGGGCUGACAUUAGCAUGGAUUUUGUUUUGGGAUUACCCCGCACUCAGAGGGGUAUGGAUUCAAUAUUUGUUGUUGUUGAUCGAUUCUCGAAAAUGGCUCACUUCAUUGCUUGCAAGAAGACUACAGACGCUUUGACUGUUGCUCGCCUAUUCUUCAAGGAAGUCUAUAGAUUGCACGGUUUACCAAGUUCUAUAGUAUCUGACCGGGAUACACGAUUUCUUAGCCAUUUUUGGAAGACAUUAUGGAAGUUGACUAACACUCGCCUGAAUUUUAGUAGUGCUUACCACCCACAAACAGAUGGUCAAACUGAAGUUGUCAACCGCUCUUUAGGAAACCAUCUACGUAGUCUAGUUGGUGAUAACUUGAAGAUGUGGGAUCAGAAGUUAUAUCAAGUCGAGUUUACUUAUAACCGUGCAGUUAAGCGUAGUACUGGUUUAAGCCCUUUUCAGGUGAAUUACGGAUAUAAUCCACGAGCUCCUAUUGACUUGGCUCCAGUUCCAGAUUUAGUUCGCAAAAGCGGUAAAGCAGAAGACUUUAUUGAGCAGUUUCAGCAGAUUUAUGAAACUACGCAAGAGUCUUUAAAGCAGACGACCGAAGGUUAUAAAAUUAUGGCAGACAAAAAACGUCGAGCUUUAGAAUUUCAAGUAGGAGAUCUUGUUUGGGCUAUCUUAACUAAAGAUAGAUUCUCAGUUGGUGAGUACAACAAGCUUUCUGCCAGGAAAAUUGGCCCUUUGGAGAUUAUCGAGAAGAUAAAUCCUAAUGCAUACCGAUUACAGCUUCCUAGUCAUAUCCGCACCGCAGAUGUCUUUAAUGUCAAGCAUCUUAUUCCUUACAGAGGUGAUCAUGAUGAAGAUGUUAUUGCUGACAAUCUGAAUUCGAGGGCGAAUUCUCUUCACCCUGGGGGGAAUGAUGAAGAGUAGGAAUUCAUAUUAUACUAGGAUUAGUUUCCUUAUUAACUAAAGUUUAAGACUUUUAAAUUCCUUUCUAAUUUAGAAUUUUGUUUCCCUUUCAAUUUAGGAUUUUGUUUUACUUCAUGAAUUAGGAUAAUUACUACUACUAUAAAUAGCUCCCUCUUGUAGCCUUUGAAAGCAGAGAUUUUUGAGUUUAAUAAUAUUUCAAUUUUCAAAUCUCUUUGUGAGUAUUUGAACAGUUAAUUCUCGGUAUUCUGCGGAAUCAACGAGUCUUAAUCCCUAAAUUCGCGGUAUUCUUUUGAAUCAACGUGAAUUUAGUUGUUCUUUUGUUCCGGUAUUCUCUAAAAUCAACGGAAUAUUUUGAACAUUAAACUUCCGCUGCAUCAUAUAUCCAGCACCCUAGUGCAAUGUUAUUACUAUUUAGCAUGAUGAAGCCUUAGCACCAUAUUGAUUAGAGUGUGGUUCAUAAGGAGUGGAAAUCCCCCGCAUGAUUUAAUUAGGACUAAUAAGAAAUAUUAAGCCUAUGGUGCAUGUUAAUGCAGAUUCAGAUACUCAAGCUCUUCAUUUUAAUAGAUUUCAUUUCAAUUUAUUCCCGUCAUUUUAAUUUAAAUUUUAAGAUAAUUUAAAUCACUUCUACCACAAAUCCAAUCACCCACUUAGAAAAUUAACUUUACACAUAAUUAAAAUCCACCUCCUUAUGGGAUCGACACUCGUCAUCAUUAAUCUAUUCUAUAAUAGAUUCGUGCACUUGCGAGUUCAAUAAAAUUUGCACAACACAUAUAACAUCAUUCAUUUUCUUCCUCUGUUGUCUUUUGUAUUAUCUAGAUUCAAAUUGUGAUUUUUCACAUUAUCAAACAUCUAACACAAUCAAUUAAUCGAAGCUACUGCUACUAAAAAAUUUUACCAAAGUAAAAGAAAAAAAUCCCAAAUUACCCAGAUUAGAUGGCAUACUAUACAUAAUAAAUCACACCAAUUUCUCCAUCCAAUUAAGAAAAGAAAAAUAAAACCCCAGAUGAGCAAAAACUUUAUACCUUAAUGAGAAAAUGAAUCAUAUGCAGAUAUUGGAUUGUGAAUGGCAAUUUUAGGUUGUGGCUGGAGCUGGAUCGGCAAAGCAAAGAGGAAAUAUUUGGAUGUGGUUGGAGCUAGUGGCUGGAGUUUGAUCGAUGAAGGAAAUGAAAGGGGAAAUAUUUGGUUGUGGUUGGAGCUGGUGGCUUAGAGCUCAAUCAACAAAGGAAAUGAAAGGUAAAAUAUUUGGGUGGAGCUCCAUCGACAAAGAAAAUGAGAAAUACUUGGCAAGUAAAAACGACGUCAUUUUUUGCUUUAACGAAACGCUACAUUUAAAUUUCGGGGUUUGACCCGGGGAUUGACCCAGCGUAAAUAUCAUUUUCGUUGUUAUUAAGAUAGUGAUGUAUAAAAUAAAUCUAAAUAUCCUUAAAAUCCCAGAAAGUCACAUCCAUAACUAAAUUUGUGUUGGCUAAUACUGAUGUCGGCACACAUAUUUGGCGCAUAUUAAAAGAAACGCUCUUUCCAUUUACUAUUUAGGUUUCUAUUAUAUAAAUAAUUUCUUUUCUUAACGAAUAAGUUAAAGCCUUAAAAGGGAAAAGAAUUAUUAUAGAUGAAAAAAAAAACACUAGUUUUCUAAUUGCAAAUGUUUUUCCUAGGGCGGGGUGUGUGCGCGCACCUUUGUUGGGCACACAGACAAAUUAAGAGUGCAUUUGGGGCAGCUGCUCCACCCUUUAUAUUCUUACGGACUGUGCUGUGACAAUGCAACUGCCCUUAACAUAUCCUGAAACCAUUUGAUAGCUCGCCAUCAAGUUUUACCUUGCACAUAGACAUACACACUCUCUUUCUUUUCACAGUCAAUAAAGUUCAAGUUAAACAGUGAUAUUUAAACCAUCAUUUAUAUCUAUUAUUGAAUUGGAUAUAAAUCAUUAGAUCUAUUGAAAUAUAUAAAUGAAUAAUUAGUAGGAAUUACUAAUUAUUUUACCAUAAUUAUAUGAAAUAUGCUUUCAUUAGGAUUUCCUAAAAAAUUUUUUGUAGUGAAGUGUUGAGACUUUUAAUAUACUGUUGUAGAUUAAAAACUAUGGCUAUCUAAAAUAAAAUUAUGAUGAUGCGUUUACUUCCAAAAUAAGGACGGGAAUGAAAAUGAAAUUUGAGUGGGCUCUAUAAGUUUGGGAAUGUGAAAUGGGAAUCUCAUUUCGAAGCGAGAGGUGGAAAUGAGAAGUGAAUUAAUAUUUGUACUCUUAGUGAAAAUAAAAAUUCCUUUUUAACUUGUUUUUUAAUAAUAAUAAUAACAACAAUUAUGAUCAUCAUCAUCAUCAUAAUCAACUAAAGGUCAAUUUAAUAAUUUGUAACAAUAUAUUCUGAUUAUAAAAUAAAGUAAACAUCAAUGAUAAAAUAGCUCAUUAAGUUUCGAUUCCUAUAGUUAAAGUAAAGAUUGUAUUCAGCUGGACCGAAGUUUCCUUACUGUCCUAGAAAGUCUGACCCAUAGCUAAAAAUACAGUGUUGACUUACACAUGUCGGCCACCAAAUUUUGGCGCGUUAAAAAACUCUCUUUCCGGUUUCCAUUUGUGGAUCAUGAAUAAGUUAAUUUCUUUAUGAAUAAGUUAAAGCCUUAAAAGGGCAAAGCAUUAUUGUAGUUUGAAAAAAAAAACACGAGUUUCCUUGUUGCAAACGUGGCAUAUAUUUAUCUACUCUUUUAUUCGUCUUUGUUGGGCAUCCAGACAAACUAAAACCCAACUUGACAGGCUCGCCGACGAGUUACAUUGCGCGUAGACAACACGCACUCACUUUCCUUUCACAGUCCAUGGAGUCCAAGUUCGGACGAAUUGACGACAGAACGGUGCCGUCUCGGUCGUCUCCUUCUCCGUCUUCUCAGAGCUCGAGCUACUCAUCUGAUGAUCAAGCACGUCGAGGUCCAUUUAGAUCUCUCUCACAAUCGUCAUUAUCCUCUAUUUGCUUACUGAAAACAAUAUAUAUAUACAUAUAUAUAUAUAUAUAUAUAUAUACACGUUUGCUUUAAAUAAUGUCGUAAUUUUGAGAAGUGCUACGAAUUGUGAUCCAAAUGCUGCCUUAACUUUUCUGCCUUAUGGAAAAAUUUACCUCAGAACCUUAAAUGCUUUUGCACUUGCAAUCAAAUAACGUAGCUUGCCAUCUUGAAUUAACAUAAACAAUCUCUUUCCAGGUAACUACUCAAUGGUCCCCGAUUUGUUGAACAAUCCAAGACUCCUUUACACACUCCAGCGUGAGAUUGAGAAGGAGAUAAUCAGGCGUGAAAUAAUUGCCGCAGAAAUUGAGCGCCGGCGAUUGCCUGAGGAAGAGGCGAGUAGAGAGCUGAUGAUUGAAAGAGAGAUGGCAAUGCAUAGAGCAAGAGAAAUGGGGCUGUCAAUUGAUGACAGGCUCUUAAUGCAACUACACACAAUGUACCCGUGGUUCCCAUUUAGUAGGAAUCUAGGCCUGGGAUUUGGAAAUGAUGUACUGCCUUCUACGCUGCCGCAUUUUUCACAUGGGCUUUGGAGUGGCUUGGACGUUAACAAGAAGGAUGAACUGACUAUGCUGGUCGGUAUUCAAUUUUACUUCUUCACAUGGUUUAUUUAUUUAUUUAUUUUGGUUGGUGUCAAUGAGUAUAUUUGUCUUCAAUAUUGUUUGAUGAUUGUAUUAUAUGGAAUCUGGUUCGCUACAAGUUUGAUGGAAUCGGUUCAAUCAGGUGCUAAAUUUAGAGGCAUGUGAUUGAUGUGCAUCUGGUUUUGGCAUCUUGUCUUUGAGUUUUGCUCUUAUUGACAAGGUAGGUGCAUCCAGGUUUGCUACCCAUGCAUGCGGUAAUCCUUCUUCUUCUGUGGGCUGUGCAUCAACAAUUCAGUCCUAAGGGGGCAUCGUUAUGAUUGAUCAAGGAGAUUUUUCUCCCCUGGUUACUGUAGCUGCAAUUUUUCAUUACAGUGAUUCGUUAUAGUGGCAUUACUGUAAUCUGGGCAGAAAAUAACCUGAGAUUGAUGACUUUGCUGAUUCCUUAGAUGUUGAUUUUUGGUACCCUAGUUUACUUGGGGAAGUCUACCCUAUGUAUAAACGGUAGACUCUUGCACAUGCCUUGCAUUAGUAUACAAUGAAAGCAUGAUCAAGUUACACCAUGUAGAAUGAAAACGAAUAAUAUUGUACCAAUUCUCUGAGACUAGAACCUUGAUUGGAUCAUGCUUUCAUUGUUUAUUUUCCUUGUGCACACUGUCCUUUUGCUUUACUUUUGCUGGUAUUUCAUGUCUGAACUUUUUGGAUAUUUUCCGUGUUACUGAGGUUAUAGCUUAGGUACUGAGGUAGAUGGAUUACAGUAGAUAUUAAGUUUAAAUAACACGAUAUAACGAACAAGAUUGUAUUUAUUGCUAUUUUUCUGGUGCAUUCUAGGACUUCCCUGUGGACCUUUACUGACUUUUGUUUUGAUACUUAUGAAACUUGUAAGUCUUGUUUUGAUUUAUUAGAGAUUUUCUGCUGAUGGAAAAUUUCAGAAGAAAGUAGUAACAAUGCAGAGCUUACUAAUUGAGGGGAGUUCAAGAUGAUAAUUUUAGAUUUUAGAUUUAUGAAAAUUGAAGUAUAAAUAGAGAUAAGUGAGUUUGUUUCGUGUUAGUUUCUUCAUACUCUCCAAUUGACAAUGCCGAGCUUACUCUUUACAUGUCCAUUUGAAUGACUUUAUCCUGCACUUACCUGCUUUGAACAAAGAACAAUUUCAAAUUAGCUAUGUAUAGCUUACGUGGAUUUGAAUGUUAUUAGUAGACCAUUGCUUAGAGAUUCCCAUGUCCAUUCUGAGUGCUAUAGACCUUGGUCUUGAUGCACACGUGACAAGUUUUUUGGGGAGUACAUUUGGACUCACUAUCUUGAUUUAGUUCCAAAUAUUUUAGUAUUUGAUACUUACGUUGGUUUCACAAGUUCAGUUUGGUUGGUCAACUCAGGUGGAUGAGAGAGUUUGUGUAACUCUUGACUAUGCCUGCAAAUGCCAAUGUAUGUGGCUUUAAAAUUUGGGCAGUGAGGACAUGUGAUCCCCCAUAACCUGGAAUCACUGUGUGUCUGAAACCUUUUUGAAUGAAAAACAUGAGCUUGUAGCAAGCUAAGGUUCCAAGAGAGGUUACAUAUGUUUACCAUCAAGUGUCACAUGAACUUGUACAGACUGAUGUUUCUGUUUUCGGGUAAUUUCUUGUUUAAAAUCUUGUUGCUUCUGUUUGUGUGUGUGUGUGUUGGGCUGGAGGCUUCAUUAAAAUGGUGUUUCCUCAAAUUAUGAAAUAAUGCUCAUAAGUAUUAAUAUCAUCUGUUCUUGUCCAGCUUAUUAAGAAAGUGUUGUAGAAUUCUAUUCAAACAUAUUCCCUUUUUUUGUUUCUGGGAAGGGAUGAUUUUCCUAGUUCAGUGCUAAAUUAACAAGGAUUCUGGUUGUAUUAACUAUUUAAAAUAUACUUCUACAUUCUGACCUUUUUUGAGAAAUUCAAAAUUUAAAAUAAAAUUAGUGCGCAUUAUUAUUUUGUAAACAAAUUCUUUUAUCUGUACUACAUUAGCAGAUGAUGGAGCUCACAGGGAAUAUUUUGUAUUUUUACCAUUGAUGUAGUAACUAAUACAUGGCAUCAUCGUUACUGUGUUUGGGUCUCAUUUGCAGGGUAAGCCCGAUUCCAAUAUUUGUGGAUCAAAGCAGAAAGCUGCCACACCAGCUGCAGGUUCUGGAGAGCUCCCUUCAACAAGUUCAAACAAACCCACGAAGUGGAGCUGUGCCCUCUGUCAGGUCAGUGCUACUACUGCGAGAGGUCUAUAUGCACAUCUUCAAGGUAAGAAGCACAAGGCCAAGGAAAAACUACUUAGAGAUUUAAAGAUGUUCAUUAUCUCCACUUCAAAAAAAUCUACUGAGAGCAGAGAUAGCGGUGGCCACGAAAUGAAAACUAAAGUACAAAAGGAAUCAGUUAAAGGUAAUAAAACUGUUGUUGAUUUAGACCAGAAAGUGAAGGGUGGUCUAGAUGGGCAUUCUCAACGUAAGAAGCGCAAGGCCAAGGUAGCAAGACUACUUAGAGGUAAGAAAAUGUAUGGUAACUUCACUUCUUCUGUGUCAAAAAAAUCAACAGAAAGCAGAGGUGGUGCUGGCCAAAAAAUGAAGACUAAAGCACAAGAGGAAUCAGUUAAAGCUAACAAAACUGUUGUUGGUUUAAACCAGAAAGUAAAGGGUGGUCUAGAUGGGCAUCCUCGACGUAAGAAGCACAAGGCCAAGGUAGCAAGACUACUUAGAGAUAAGAAAAUGUGCAGUAACUCCACUUCUUCUAUGUCAAAAAAAUCAAAAGAAAGCAGAGGUGUUGGUGGCCAAAAAAUGAAGACUAAAGUACAAGAGGAGUCAGUUAAAGCUAAUAAAACUUUUGUUGGUUUAAACCAGAAUGUGAAGGGUGGUCUAGAUGAGCGUCCUCAAGGUAAGAAGCACAAGGCCAAGGUAGCAAGACUAAGAGAUAGGAAAAUGUGCAGUAACUCCACUUCUUCUACGUCAAAAAAAUCUACAGAAAGCACAGGUGUUGCUGGCCAAAAAAGGAAGACUAAAGUACAAGAGGAAUCAGUUAAAGCUACUGAAAGUGUUGUCGGUUUAAACCAGAAUGUGAAGGGUGGUCUAGAUGAGCGUCCUCAAGGUAAGAAGCACAAGGCCAAGGUAGCAAGACUACUUAGAGAUAAUAAAAUGUGCUCUAACUCCACUUCUUCUACGUCCAAAAAAUCUACGGAAAGCAGAGGUGGUGCUGGCCAAAAAAUGAAGACUAAAGUACAAGAGGAAUCAGCUAAAGCUACUAAAACUGUUGUCGGUUCAAACCAGAAAGUGAAGGGUGGUCUAGAUGAGCAUCUUCAAGGUAAGAAGCACAAGGCCAAGGAAGAAGAAUUACUUGGAGCUCAGAAGUGGACAAAAAAAUCUACAGAAAGCAGAGAUAUUGCCGGCCAAGAAAUGAAGACUAAAGUGGAAGAGAAAUCCGUUAAAGCUAAUAAAACUGUUGUUGGUUCAGACCAGAAAGGGGAGGGUGGUCAAGCCCAGCAGGUUAAGCUUUAUCCCAAUCUUUGUGGAUCAAAGCAGGAAGCUGCCACACUACCAGCAGAUUCUGGAAAGCCCUGUUCAACGGGUUCAAAGAAACCCAUGCAUUGGAGUUGUGCCCUCUGUCAGGUCAGUUCUACUAGCAAGAGAAAUCUAGAUGAGCAUCUUCGUGGCAAGAAGCACAAGGCCAAGGAAGAAGAACUGCUUGGAGAUCAGAAGUGGAAAAAAAAAUCUAGAGAAAGCAGAGAUAUUACUGGCCAAGAAAUAAAGACUAAAGUAGAAGAGGAAUCCGUUAAAGCUAAUAAAACUGUUGUUGGUUCGGACCAGAAAGGAGAGGGUGGUCAAGCCCAGCAGGUUAAGCCCUAUCCCAAUCUUUGUGGAUCAAAUCAGGAAGCUGCCACGCUACCAGCAGAUUCUGGAAAGCCCUGUUCAACGGGUUCAAAGAAACCCAUGCAUUGGAGUUGUGCCCUCUGUCGGGUCAGUUCUACUAGCAAGAGAGAUCUAGAUGAGCAUCUUCGUGGUAAGAAGCACGAGGCCAAGGAAGAAGAACUGCUUGGAGGUCAGAAGUGGACAAAAAAAUCUACAGAAAGCAUAGAUAGUGCUGGCCAAGAAAUGAAGACUAAAGUAGAAGAGGAAUCUGUUAAAGCUAACAAAACUGUUGUUGGUUCGGACCAGAAAGGAGAGGGUGGUCAAGCCCAGCAGGUUAAGCCCUAUCCCAAUCUUUGUGGAUCAAAGCAGGAAGCUGCCACACUACCAGCAGAUUCUGGAAAGCCCUGUUCAACGGGUUCAAAGAAACCCAUGCAUUGGAGUUGUGCCCUCUGUCAGGUCAGUUCUACUAGCAAGAGAGAUCUAGAUGAGCAUCUUCGUGGUAAGAAGCACAAGGCCAAGGAAGAAGAACUACUUGGAGCUCAGAAGUGGACAAAAAAAUCUACAGAAAGCAGAGAUAUUGCUGGCCAAGAAAUGAAGACUAAAGUGGAAGAGAAAUCCGUUAAAGCUAAUAAAAUUGUUGUUGGUUCGGACCAGAAAGGGGAGGGUGGUCAAGCCCAGCAGGUUAAGCCCUAUCCCAAUCUUUGUGGAUCAAAGCAGGAAGCUACCACAUUACCAGCAGAUUCUGGAAAGCCCUGUUCAACGGGUUCAAAGAAACCCAUGCAUUGGAGUUGUGCCCUCUGUCAGGUCAGUUCUACUAGCAAGAGAAAUCUAGAUGAGCAUCUUCGUGGUAAGAAGCACAAGGCCAAGGAAGAAGGACUAGAAAGGGAGAAGAAACACAUGGCUCGGUCUAAUGAAUCUAAGAAAAAUGAUGAAGCCGUCUCCCUCACCACCAGCACAACAAUUGUGACACCAUUAGAGCCUACUGAGAAGGUUGAAGAUGAAGAUGUAGUGGCCAAAGAAUCAAAUGAAGAAACAGUGGACGGUGUUAUUGAGAAUGCUGAAGAUGAAGAGGUGGUGGUCUAUAGAGGAAGACAAAGUGGGCCUGACGCAGCAGACUCCUUGUUAUGCUGAAGGUAAAUCUGUAACUUUAUUUUGCCCUUUCACUUCAUUUUGAAUGUCUUAAACCAGCUGCACCUCACUUUAUCAUUUGAAAACUCGGAAAUCACAAUAAUAAAUUAAGUUAAUUCUUCCAUCUCUUUGUAUAUGGAUUUGAAGGAACCAAUUGAUGAAGCCUAUAAAUUCAAGCAACAAUAGUGUAAUGGGGAUCAUUCGCUGUUCUCUACUAUCCAGUCUUGGUAAACAGCUCAAAAAAUGAAGUGGAGAUACUAUUAGAUCUACUCUCUAUGAAAGUGCUUCAGACAUGCAUGUUUGUCACUACGAUGCUGUCAUAGUCUCAUAGAGCUGAUUCUUCACAAUUCAGAUAUUCACUCAUGAAUUCUUUGAAAUUUAGAGCUUUUCUCCAUAGCUACCUCAUUAGAAAACAAGUCAUGACAUAAGACUUAUCGACUCAAAGCAGAAUUUUCUAGAUCAGGACCUAACAUCAGUUUAUCUUGUGCUGGCAGGUAGUUGAUUGGAUAUCACUAUCCCCAACUUGUGCAGAAGCUUCCUGACCUUUGUAUGUCAUCAGCAGUGGGUGCUGGAUGUUUGAUCAGAUCGGCUAAAUUAUGAACUUAUUGUGUAUAUUUGUGUCAAUAUGUACAAAGGAAGGGGGUAAAAAACUAAUAUAUUAAAUAACACGGCAUAAAAAACCUCCUCCUAAACAAAAUAUGUAUCUAUUUUGUAAAAUGAGUUAAUA